GGAGGAGGGGGAGGGGGAGAAGGAGGAGGAGAGGGAGGGGGAGGAGGAGGAAGCCACAGAGUCAAAAGAACCAAUUCCACUAUGAGAAGUUGCCUUCAGAGGAUUUCCCUGAAUACCUGCACUUUCCCAACCUCCCACCUUCUGUCUGACUCCAGCAAGUUGCCUCAAAAGUUGAGUUUUCUUAAACCUUUCCCAAGCCUAAGCAAAGGACCGUUUUUAACCCUCCAAUUAAAAACAGGCUCCUUGGGGCCUGAUUUCUCCUUCAUAUUCCCUAAACAUGAACCGUCUGCAUGGUUUCUUUGUACAAGGUGGGCUUCUUUCUUAGCCUUCUCUUUACUUCUCUUGGCCUCUUUCUCCUCCUUGGAGCUUCUCAUUGCUAUCCGAUUGAGUUCCCACCCUGCUAUUUUUCUAUCUCUAAAAGUGAUGCUUUUCCUAAGGGGGAUGUCUUGUAAUUUUUUUUUUCUUUUUAAGCAACAGCAGGGAAAAUGAUAUGAGCAGACGUCUCUGCAAACAUUCGGUUGACAAAUUAAUAGGAGCUCCAUAUACACACUCUUUGGGAAAAGGGUUGCUGCUUUCAGGGACAACAGUGGGAGGGGCUGCCAGAGGAGGGCUAGAGAAGCUGGGGAUGAUAUUACUUAGACUGCAGGCUCGAACACAGGAGAGUCCAGAACUCAAAACCAGGAAGGAUGUGGUAAGAAUAGGCCCUGAAGGGGCAUCUUCUUGCCAAUGCCCCAACCCGUCGGCUGACAGGACAGCAAGUUCCACUCAAUAUUCCUCAACCCUCGUUCUGUCUUUCAGGGAGGCAAUCUCUUAUACAGAGAACACCAGAGUGAUUUUUUUUUCUAGAACCCUUUAUGACAGUUGAUAGGCUAGAAGUAGCCUUCUUAGGAGUAGGGUCUGGGAUGUAAGCAUGAUAUGCUGGGUACAUGGGGAAGAACGGAUGGAGACUCCAAAGAUGGCCAGGCAAGAAGUUGAGUUGAGGUUAUAAAGUUGGCUCUCAUUAGUCAGGACUCCUCAGAAGUCAAGGUACCUCAAAAAGCUUUGUAUGGGUUUCCAUGAAGAAAAUGGUGUAAACGGGACUUUUACCCACAGGGGGCUCAAACCUCCCUUGUGGCAUGGGUCUUCCAGGUAGACUGGAAGCACAUUUGGUGGCAACUGGCUGUGCCCUGUGGGCUGGCAUCCUACUGUCUUGUUGCCUGAAUUGGUCCUACACUCUCUGCCCUUCCACAGAUAGAGCACUACAAAGGCGCCUCGUUUUUCCAUCUUCUCUGGGCAUAGUUCAAAUGUCACCUCUUCCACAGAGCCUCCCACGAAUGCCCCAUGGGAGAUCAGUGUUCUCAUCCCUGGGCUCGAUAACCAUUGGUUGAGUGCUCCCCUAAAACUUAGAAAAAUAUCUACACAGGACAGGCUGAGGACUGUGAGUGAAUGGAGGGUUGUUAAGCCACCCAGGUUCUAAGUUAAAACAGCGGUACCUCCCCCUCCCCCCUUCUGUCAGUUACAUCCCUGCAAAGGAGUUCUCUUGGAAAUUGUCCUGGCAUGAGAAAGUAAUCGCCCAAACGGGCUUCUGACAGGCUUGCCUUGGCAUGAGAUGUAGUGUUUGGGUAGCCGUGGUUGAGCUUCUUGAUCCCACAGCCAUCUUUCUCUUCCCGCAACUGACUUGACGAAAGGCCGUGCUUGAAACAGCUCAGUCCUAAGGGUGGCCAGGAGCUAUGGAGGCAGGAGUUGGGGGUGGUGGUGGCAAAUGUCAAAAUUUCUGAAUGAUCCUUGGUGUAGUAACUGGCCAACUUGGGGAUGAGGAUGGGUGACAGAGCCUUUCACCUUUGGGGCCAGCACAUGCCUCGCCACAUGCAAGAGGUUGAGACAUCUGUCAGCUGGGCUUCUCCCGUAGGCUUUUCUUAAGGUCGCUUUCCAUUGGGAGAAAAGGUAGUGUUUCACUUGCAACUUGUGGCAGGGCUAUUGUUUCGGCCAUACAUUGAUCCAAGAAUUGUUUGUUCGUCACAUAGGUGGUCACCUGGGCAUACGAUGCCAGCAUACAAAUCUGUUCCAUAAGCUCUUUGCCAGGGGAUUUGAACUUAGUUGGCAAGAGGGCAAGAAGCAGAUUCCCACCCCAUGUUUGUGAGUUGAGCCAGUCUACAGCAGCACCAGGCUGAUAACACGUUAAGGUGUAUACAUGGGCAGUCUUUGUCUUUUUGGGGGGGUGGGAAUGAGUGUUUAUUUGCUCAGUAGAAAGUAAUGUAAACCAGAGACCAGAUGGAAGUCUGUCAGUGGUGGCAAGAAGCCCAGUUGCCCUUCAGACAGAAGUAGAUAAGGUAGAUAAAGCUUCAGAAAGAAGGAAGGGAUCCUGCCUAAGCCCAAAGAUCUUCACCUCAGUCUGAGGGCCUCUGAAACAGAGGUUUGAGGGAGACAAAAAUGCCUUUGUUCACAUCAGCAAACCUCUGCCAAGCUGGCGGUGUGGGUCUGACCCAGUCACCCUCUCUGCACAGGUAGGAAGCAAAUGUCCAAAGAGCAGUUGUCAGCUCAGGUCGAGUUUCCUAAUCCAAAGCAAAGCAGUCAGCCUGUUACCCUGAGGCAAUUCUCUGUCUUGGACCCAGCUGCUGCUCUCACUUUCUCUGGGCCCGUAAGCUAGCUCCUCAAGCCCCCAGCUGAAGUGGGACAGGACAGCAUUAUUAUGAGCAGUAGAGCAAAUUUUGAGUCAACAUGUUACCAAUAAGAGUUCCUAAGGGAAAGGGGAGUCUGUGUUUCAGACACAAUGAUAACCAUGAUGGAUAGAAAUGAAGGGAACAUUCUGGGCCUCUGCUCAACAAAAGAAUUCCUUGAACUUAGUCCUGGAAAUGGCAGAGCUGGGAGAGUCCUUAGAAAUGCUCAACUCCACUUUUUUUCCCCUGUCCUAGACAACUGCUUCCAUUCUACAGACAGAAAGUAAAGCAGAUGGUGACUUAGGGGUGAAUAUACUUAGUGUUUGGAGCUGAACCAGGUGCUCCUGAUCCCCACAUGAAUAUUCACCAAUGACAGCUAAAAUCUGUCAUUUGAGUUUAGAAAACUCUAGAUACAUAGGUCCACAAUCUGUGACUGAAUAUGCUAUAACCACCGGAUCAGUCAUUGCAUUGUUUCAAAUGCUGGUGAAAUAACAUUAUUAUUCAUUGAACUUGUUCAUGCAACAGUUAAAACAGGAAGUGUAUACAUUGUAUUUUAUAUUUUUCUUUCAUGGCACCUUUUUUUUUUUUCAAAAUCCCUUCUACAAACUUAAGAAGACAAGUACAGAGUGACUCAAAAGAGGUUGGCAUGCAACCUCAGUUUGUAUAAUUGGACAGACAACUUUAUAAUGUCAACUUGGGGUCUAUCCUAAAUCUGCAAGGAAGAAACCCUUAGUUUCUACCCAGUCUGUGCCUCAGCUGCUGGGUCCUUUCUGCUUUGUUCUGUGGACCAAUUCUGUAGCAAAGAGUGGAGAGCUGGAUUCAGAAGGCCCGUUAUACCUCUACUCUUGCUUCAAGACACAGCUCAAAUGUCUUCUCUGCGACGCUUUCCUGAGUCUUCUCCAACUUUUUAGUGUGGCCCAAAUCCUUCCCUUGUCUAACACCAUCUGGGCAUCCUGCCCAUUGUGUUCCAUGACAUUGUAAGAUCACAAUAACAGGCCCCACAGAGGCCUUGUAACUCCUGAUCUUUCAGCCUCAAAGACUACAAGGAGAAUGUGAGUGUCAAUAUUAGGAAAUUGGGACACACACCAGGUAGAGUUGACUAGUGACAUUCUGGGGGACAGACAUAUCAGGAAGGAGGGUGCAAUGCCACGGGCAGAGCCCGUGUGUGUGUGUGUGUGUGUGUGUGUGUGUGUGUGUGUGUGUGUUGGGGGUGCAUGGCAGGAAAGCCUUGUUGCAAUUGAACAGAAUGAGGUACUCUCAGAGCCUUGGCCUUGGAAGCCAGUCUUGGGAAGGGACAAGAGGUAGAGCAGCUUUCAGAAUAUACAGUCAGAAGGGCAUUGGAUGGCUGAGACGAACAGUAGAAUGCACUCUAGCCCAGGGUGUCUGUAGCCCCUGCUAGGUACCCCCAUCCUGGAUGAAGGCAACCGAUUUGGCAUAAGGUUUGUGGGCUUUGAAGAGGCUGGUAUGUAAUCCUGAACUGGGGCAUGGAGACAUUGAGACCUGGCUUUUCUCUGUCUCUCUCUUAGCCCUCCUGUCAGCUAGCUAUGAGGCCUUGGGUGGAUCUGUUCCCUUUGAAGAGGCCUUACAUAAUGUGGAUAACAUAAAUGCUAAUGGUUACUUCUGGGAUUGCAGGCUAGAUGAGCCCAAGUCUCAACACAGAUCUAUUCACUCAGUGUCUCCAGAAUGUCUCCUACCUGGUCCUUUCUAGUCAUCUUUGAAUUAUGCUUCAUAAAAACACAGGUCCAAACCCAACUGAUAUACUGGGAUGAAGCUGUAAAUUCUAACUGGGGCUGCUUAACCAGAAAUAUUUUUCUUUGUAUGUUCAAAAAUUACUUGCCUUUUUUUCAAAAAAUGUGUAUUUUGGAAAUGAUUUGAACACUGUUUCUUAAUGAUGGCUCAAAUUUUAAAAGCAAGAAUAUAAAAAAUAAAUGCUGGUGGUGGAGGGGAGAUCACUAGGAAAUACCAUUUUUCAAUUUUUGCAAAGGCAAGAGAACUAUGAACUCUGGUCUGUGUAUCACAGUCAUCUCAUGGUUAGCAAAGGACAUUGUAAAUAUUCAAGAGGGAAAAAAAGUAAAAAGGCCCAACCUUAGCCUAAAGGACAGGCUUUGCACAUAAUUCAGCUCUAUGAAAAAAGCCUUCCUGGUCUAUGUAAGUGCCAAGUUCAUCUCUGACUGACUCGGUGACCUGGACUGGUGGAGGGGGAGGGAGUAGGGGGGGUCGCUUUGGAAAUAGCAUUACCUUCUGCUGAGGGCUGGCCUUAAUCGGUGCCCUUUGUCAGGAAGUGAACAUCAAGGCUCUUGUCACAACCAUGUGCCAUGACAACUUGGAGUGGCUAUAGUCACAGGAGCCUAUGAGGAAGGAAGAGGCUGGGAUGUGUGAUUACACCGUUUCUUUCCGAUUUGCUUCCGGGCUCAGAAUAAAGCCCUUUCCCCAUGUUUCUGAAAUUCUUGCCGCCAAGGCUUCUACUAGAAUACCAGCCUGGGAGUUUUUUUCUUUUUAAUUUUUUAAAUAGAACCAGAAAUCGUGCAUUCUAGCCCUGCGCCAGUCUGAAUUAGUGGAAUUAGUGGCCUCUCUCACCUGCCAUCCCCUCUUCCACCUCUCUGCCCACCCCCUUCCCCCACUGUCUGUGGCCAGCUUUGAAGCUGGGUGGCCUUAGCCCUUACCUCCCUGUCUCAUCCCAUCAGAAACAAAGAAAACCUCAACUGCUCGAAGCUCAGAGCCCCUUCUUGGCUGUAGUCCUCCUUCUGACCAUGCUGCCUUGAAAUCGGUCACACGCUGCUCCUUCCAGGGUCCUCUCGCCCGGCCUCUCUGGGUCCCGCCAUAGUGCCAUGGCAAGCGAUGCUCCACCUCUUUUUCUCACUCUUCUCUCCACUCCCCAAAUGCCUUUGCCAUCAAAGUGGUGAUGGGAGCCAGCCAACUCUCGUAAACCAGCCAGGCAGGGAUAGGAAGGGCUCUCUUUUGAUUUGCACUUCUUCCUCCCAGAAGAGACGGGUGGGACCAUGCUUUAGUGAUAUCUGGCCGGGCGGAGGAAGCAUGGGUCUUCCAGGGUUUGGACUUGAUUUCCCUGUUUUGUUUUGUUUUCAAUCCCACAGUUGCUUGGCUAAUGCUAGCUUUCUAUGUCCCACAGUAGCAUCCCCUGAGAGCGUCUGGGCUCCGGAGUCUGACUAUUGCAUGCUUGGAGGAUCUAGUACGAUAAUAAAACAUAGGCCCCAUGUUCACAGGGCUCAGGGGCUCAUGAGCACAGGGGCGUUCCACUCUAUAGCAAGGUGACUCAGUUUGGCAGGACCCCACCACCACCAGGGACAGCUACCAAAGACUGGAGCUAGAGGCAGAUCCUGAGAAACCUUAAGGUGCGUGGCUGGGGUGCAGUGAGUUACGUAGAAGACCUCUGGCUAACUUUUUACUUGCCUUUCGGAAUCCACCCCAACAGUAUCAACAGAGAAUAAUGCACAGGGCUUCUUGGAGUAAAAAAAAAAUCCAACAGCUUCACAAAAUCCUAUUGUAAAAUUUGUGUUUUACCUCAAAAUUAUUACUUUUUUUUUUAAAAGAGCCUUGUUAAUUCGCUUCAAACCCACUCAGCUGCUGAAGAAUUUAGAGUAUUCAGCUAGAGAUCUUUGUAAUGAACAAGAAACUCAAUUAUUCUAGCUGCAUUAUCCAACGUCUCAGGCAUUCUUUGGCACAAGGGAUUAAAGCACUCCCCCCCCCCCCCCCCGCAAAUGGCAACACCAUUUGAGACAUAUCCUACACAAGAGGUUUUUAACUGAAUGUAGUUCCUUUUAAAAACAAGAGUUUUCCCCUGAAGAAACACUUUGUAGCCUGGUUCAUCCGAGGAGGGAUUUUUUUUUUUAGCUCGGGCUAACUGGCAUUUUAAAAUCAUUUUGUGUAGAUUUUAUAUAAAUAGGGAUGGGUUUUGCUGGGGCUGGACCUCCCCAAGGCUUGUUCCCACAACUCAGUAAAUUGCUCCAGCCCCUUUUUAUGCUUUACCCAGCACCUCCCUCCAUGGCUCAUCUUCCUACUCAAGAUCACUUCAUCAUUCCCCACAGAGGCUUAGUCUGAGCUGUCCUGGGCAUGUUCCUCCAUUCAGGGCAGAAAAAUCACAACAGCUGGAGCCUGGGGGAGCCUCCAGGCCUCUGUGAGAGAAAAUGGUUUCUCUUGAGAAAGAGCUGCUUUCAAACCAUGUAGGAAGGGAAGGACAUUGUCUUUGUCUUUUCUCCCAGCAUAAGUGUGUAAGCAGAGCAUGCACUAGCCUGUGUUCUUUGGUGCAAUUUAGAAAAAGGCAGCCCACCGAAACAGAUACAAAACUUGACCAAGAGUAGAGAGACGGGAUUUCCCUCAGAAGUGGUGGCUAGCCUGGUUAAGGAAGUCUACCCCACCCCCUUGGGUUUAGUUUUCUUCCCAGGUAGUUAAAAUGCUGAAAAGGGAGUUGAGGGCAAGUGACUGAAUCCAUAAAAGUAAGAUGCAAUUGUUCAACGGCUGCAAAUGCCGAGAGCUGUUUACAAACCUUCAGCUCCUUAUGUAAGCCUCCUUAUGGUGGCUUCUGCCACCAUAGCCACUCCCAUGACAGGCUGGACAUGAUAAUCUCUCAGAUCCUAGAAUCGCAUCGGAGAUUAAAAAAAAAAAAAAAAGCAGACUGGUGAUGUCUGCAAAAUCAUGGUCAGCAAGGAGCUGGAGUCAAAGGUGAGGUAGCCUCAAUGGUUAGACCCAAAGUACGGUCUGUCCAGGGACAGCGAGCAGUAUGACCUCGGGUUAUCUUUGCCCCGGUGAUGAAGAGUUGUGCAACUACUUUUACAAAUCUGUUCAAAGCAGGUUUCUUCUCUGCCUUGCUCUCCUUUCUCGGGUCUCCCCUCAUUCUUUGCCAAAUUUCUCGAAAGAGUCCAUGCUUGCUGUUUCAAUGACCUGUUCUGUCCCCCCCUCCCCCUCAUCCGGGUGAAGCAGAUGGCUGAGAAUGCAGGGUGUUUCUGAUCGAUGAUGUCACUGGCUGGUCUUGUUCCCUGCCCUCAGAAUGUUGGCUCACGGAGAUCUGAGCCGAUGACUUCCUUUGCUUUUUUUUUUUUUUUUUUCUCCUCCUCACACUGCCUCCCUUGGACUCCUGUUAAGCGACCAUUCCCUGAUUUUCCUUGUACUCUUGUGGCUUCCUUUUUGCUUCAUUAUGGAGUCCUGAGAUGAGGCUCUCCCUCCUGCCUCCGAUCAGACAAUUGUCCCCGAUCUCGGUCGUAUCUCCUGUGUUGGGAGAUCUGCCUGGGGAUUCCAGUCUCACAGCUCUGCAAUUGUCUCCCGUGUUUGUAUCGUAUGUUUCUGGCCCUUGCCCAAGUGUCUGAAGGUUACCUGUGGUUCCCUCAGAGUGCUUGGAGCUGUCACUUUCUCCUACAGUUUGUUUCUCCUCUUGGACACUCUAGAGACACAUGAAGGACUUGAGGGGGAAGGUGGGGGUUCCACGUCUAGGCAGGAAUCCUGGUUCUGCACUUUUCUAUGCAGUCUUUGGAAAUAGUCCUGCUUUCUCACGCUCCACAACGAUACCAUGCUCAUCACUAAAUGCUGGUCCUAUUCCUGGUUCCUGUCAGCAUGAACAUUUCACCUCUGAAAUGGGGUUGGGACAACGCAGCAGCUGUUUAACAGCACGUUUCUCCCCUUCCUUUAUACUUCCUUGAGUCCUUGUAAGUUCUUUGGAACUAUCUCUUACUUAGGUGUCUUCUUCCCACCUCUUAGGGAAGCUAUUUUAGGCCCAUGUAUCCCAUCUGUGGCCCCCGGGCUCUUUUCCUACUACCACUUAAGCACAGUUCUGAAUGGAGCCAUUCCCUUGCUCAAAAAAAUAAAAAAAAUAAAUAAAAAUAAAAUAAAAAAUAACCCUCAGUGCCUUCACUCUUGAUUCCAUAGUUUUCAAGGUAUUAUUUAUUUUGGAGGGGGCUGUUAUUUGGGUUUUUGGGGGGGGGUUGUUGUUUUGUUUUUACAAUCUGCCUCAAAUUUAUUUUUUUAAACUAAAUUUAGGCUGGCCUCAGUCAGUCACCUUCGGGUCUCUCAGUCAGGGAUCUUUGGGGGUGGAAGAGGCAGUGCCCUAUACAAAGGUAACCACUCUGGAGGUUAGGUUCGUAAUCUUGGUUCCCCAGUGUCACUUCAAGUUAAAUGAGUCUUCACCUACAUGCAAGUGCUAGGCUGCUAUCCUCAGGGCAAAUGGGUGACCUCAGGUAGCUUAGCAUUGAAGUAAAAAGGAAAAAACCCAAGAACCUUAUAAAACGGGUGAUUGACCUAAGCUCUCUUGAGUCAAUAAACAUGGUGAGGAUAGGGACUGGGAGGGGAAAGGACUUGAAGCAACAUGAUAGUCCUUGGCUCACAAGAGACAGGCUCAUUGUGUAUUACCAAGGGUGCAGGAACCCUCUGCUGUUUCUAUUUCUCGGUGCCAAGCAUGUGCCUUGAAAAGCGUGCUUGCUAUUUUGGGUUCGAGGUCGUUAGAACGACCUCUUUCCACAGAAGAUACUAAGCGGAUACAGAAACUCUUCAUAAUACCUGUCUAACUGGAAAUUUGAUGUUCAAGACAGAAGACUGGAGAGAUAGCAUUUUGGUGUUUUGGUUGUUGAAUGAAAAAAAGAAAUAAAAAGGAAAGGACAUGACUGCUCCUAGGUAUGCUCCUAGGAGGAGGGGGUUUAUUGUAGAUAAAAGGGACAGCAUACCAGAGGGAGAGACUGGAGACAUCUGAGAGUGUCCGGAGUGAACAUGACCCUGAGCUGGGCCCUGUGAGGAGAGAACAAGAGAGGAGCUGCCAACCAAGAGGGGCAGCCUGGGACAGGAGACUGGCUGAGAGACUGGCAUAGGCUAAAUGACUGAGUAAUAUAGAGGCCAGAGGAGCUGGAGGGAAGGAAGUCCAGCCCAAUAUGUAGACUGGAGAGUUCAGGGCAGGGGUAUGCCAGGCCACAGGUAGAGGCUAAGGGACUCUGGGAGAACCAGUUGGCCAGAGAGGUCUACUUUGAUAUGUUAAUGGAUGACUCAGCUUUUUGCCCUGGCUGGAUUAGCCUGUCUUUGGCAGACCCUUUAGACUCUCUUGGAGAUUAGAAACAGUAGGGGAUUCCAGUAACCCUUAUCUUUUGACGAAAAGGCAUUCUUUUUCCAUUUUUAAAGAGUUGAAACUCCCCCCCCCCCCCCGAAGCUCAGAGAUAAUUAAAUGCAGGGGGUCUACUGUGGGUGUGCUGAGAAUUCAGCGCUCUCAACUGUCCGGGUCCUCUGUCUACUCUUAGCAAUGAACCCCCCCCCCCCAUGGCUGCACUGGACUUUAUCUUACCUAAUAGCUAACAUUUACUGAGUGCUUACUAUGUGCCAGGCACUUUAAAGAGAAACAGUGCCUCAUUUCUGUGUGGUUUCUGGGAAACUGAGCAGGAACCUAAGAAAAAUAGAAACGGAGAAAUGAAGGGUUUGUGGGGGCUCCUGGUGUCUGGGACCCACCAUGGUACAGUUCAGCCUCAGCAACAUGCCAGCCCUCCCCUAGGUCAGGAGUGGGCUGCAAUUCAGUGGGUGAGCGGGAGCACGGGGGGGGGGAGGAGGAGAAACAGCAGACUGUGCAAGCUCCAUUCUUGUCAGCCUCUGCUGAGCUGGUGUCAGAAGCACUGUUUAGGAGGCUGAGUAGGAAGAGGAGCCCACCCCUCACCCCCAACCCUUUCGACACAAUCUCCCAUCCGCCCCCAUCCUCCAGAGUGAAAUGUUUAGUGUGUCUUUUGUGAAUACUGGUGGAGAAUUUAACAGAGCGGUCUCCUGUUUACAAGAAGAGAUGAAAAGACUCGGAGACCUUUCCCAUAAGGGAUGAAGAAAGAGUGGUCAGGACAGGAUGCCUGGUUGUAGGGUAGGAAGAAAAAGGGGAACCGGAACUGAGAGCCCCGCGGGCUGACAGAGCCUCCUUCCUAUGAAAGCACUGUAGAAGGUCUCAUUCUGCCUUCAACAGCGUGGUGGUUAUUUGCACCGUUUCUCGGGAAAGGGAAAAGAGUGAGGGCAAGAGAGCAGAGGGGGGGGGCGUCCCUACUGAGGAAAGUAGACUCUCAGAACACAAGUCCCAGGGCAGCAGGCAGGUACAGUGGCCCCAGGGAGUCUGUUCUGUGCCUAGAUUUGUCACAGAUGUGGCACAGGCAGUUACCACCCAGUCAGCCAGCCUCUCAUCCAGGGGAUUGUCCCUUAAAGUUAUGGUUUUUUGAAAAGGAAUUAAAAAAAAAUGCUCUUGGAAUCUUCUGUAGCGUCUUGCAGGAUAUUUGAAAUGUAAAUUUUCCUCAUUAAAAAAAAAAAAGAAAAAAGAAAUUCCACAGAAAGUAGGACUUUUCCAGACAAUUGAGCAUUUCUCACUGUCAGAGAUUUGUGCCUGCCUCUCACUCUCUCACAGAGAGUGUUAUUAAACCAAGACCUCUAGUUCUCUGCAGUAACUCCAUUUCAGAACCCUUGCCCCAAAACACACACACACACACACACACACACACACACACACACACACACACACACACACACACACAGAGUUUGUUUACCUUCUGUUUCUCUUGGCAGUGCAAGAAAAGUGUGUGUGUGUGUGUGUGUGUGUGUGUGUGUGUGUGUGUGUGUGUGUGGUGCGUACUACUCUGCUGCAAAGCGGUUGCUGUUACCCUAAGAGUUGGCAAGGAAGCCUGGAAGACAUUAGAAUUCCUCAGUGAAUCGGACAGGAUGCUAAGCACAGGGCCAGCUGGGAGGGCAAAAGGCACAGUGAUCCCCCAUCUUGAUUAAACAAAUUGUCUUCACUUAGAAAGUUGAGAAAUAGGGGUGAGCUUGGAGAGGCGGUGUCAACCCAGGAACAAUGCAGAGUCCACCGCCAGGGCGGAGGAGGGAGGGGACUGUUGAACUGGGAGCCAGUUGUUGGCCAGGGGUUCUGACCAAGGCUUUUCUUGUAGAAAAGAGUGGGUAUGGGAGUGUGAGUACGAGAGCAAAGAAGGUCAAACAGAACAAGAGCGUGGCGCGCUCUUUGUGGAAAGUGAAAGGGCAAAGCCGGAAGUCAACUAAAUAGCCCAUCUGGGAUGAAGCCCGAGAUGAACUCUUAGGUGUGAGACUCCAGGUUUCUGCAGGGCAUCUUGAGGAGGACUGUGGGAAAUCUUUGACUCAGCAGCAGCUGUAGAGGACUGGCGCUUGGCUCUAGGGAUCGAGGCUUUAUUUAACUCUCACUCCAGAAAUGGGCAGGGAGUGGAAUCACAAUGAUCGUAGGCACUGCUUUGUUGCUUCAGUAAGAAUUGCUGUUUCACUGACGCAGGAACCCACAGUGAAACAUUAGGCAGAGCUUGAGGAAUCCUGUGGAAGAUGGGAAGAUGGGUUCGGGGAGGCAACUGAAGGAGUCAGACAGGGGUCCUGAUCACCACAAGAAAACCUACGGGAAUCAACAAACCUGGGCCCUCGGGGGUUCAUAGAGACAGAACCACCAACCAAAGAGCAUGCCCUGAGUUGGACCUAGGUUCCUUCUGCGCCUAUUUAACAAUUAUGCAGCUGGGUCUUCACGUGGGACUCCUAAAGCGGGAGGAGCAGGGGCUUCUCUGACGGCAUUACCUGUGUUUGGAUCCUUUCCCCUAACUGGGCUGCCUUGUCGAGCUUUAAUAGAAGAAGAUACACCAUAGUGUUAGCUGAAACUUGAUAUGCCAAGGCUGAUGGAUAUGCAAGGGUGGCCUCUCCUUUUCUGAGGAGAAAGGGAGGGAGAGGGCAUAGAGAGAGGAGAGGUGAGAGGGAGGUCUGACUGGGAGGUGUAGAGGGGGAGGGGGAAGAUGCCAUUGGGAUUUAAAUUAAAUAAGUAAUGUAAUUGAUAAAAAAAUUGCCUUUCAGACCUGAGGUCUGAGAAAGUAACAGGAUUGAAUAUGAAGAUAGCAUUUGUAAGUAUCUAAGGAAUGUCAGGGAGGAGAGGGGGGAGAGGCUGUCAUCAGCAUGCUAGGGAUAGAAAGAUGGGUAAGACUUGGCCCUUACUCUUGAGGGGGCCGUGAUUGGAGGGUGGGGAGCUCUCAGGGACUUAGGAUGUUUAGUUAAACACAGACAGCUUUGGAUUCCUUAGUAUUUUUUUUCUCCCGUAGUACCCACUAUUUUAUUCUUCCAUGGAGACACUGAGCUUUUCAACAGCCCACCCCUUCAAUCCAACCACCAAAGGCAUUCACAGACUUUGGUUGUUUCUCCUUGAGCUGACAUUGUUGGGAAAUGACUGUUUGGGGAAAAAAGAUCCUUUUUCUUUUGGAAUUUUAUGUAAUAUCUAGUCCGGCGUUUGAGGUGUUAAACUUCAUUUUAAAAAAUUCCACAGGAAGUAGGACAGACCCAAAUAAUUCGGCAUAUCUUUUUGUCAGAGAUUUGUAUCUCCUGAUGUAAACAGCCAAGUUAUGUAACAGCGACACAACCUCAUAACACAUUCCAUAGUCAACAUACACACAGAAGUCACCUUCUAUCCCUCUCAACAUGGAAAUAAGUAGGAGUGUGUGUGUGUGUGUGUGUGUGUGUGUGUGUGUGUGUGUGUGUGUGUGUCCGCUCUGGCUGGUCACCAAGGGAAGAGAGCACUUCUGCUACAUUUUUAUAGUCUUAACCAGAAGAAAACCCAAGAGUCAGUUCUGUAAUGGUGGGUUUAUGGGUUUCACUGGACAAUGGGAGGGAAAGAGGGAAGGAAAGAGGGCCCUUGAGAGUGGGUGGAGAUUGGUCUGAGCAGAGUCGGGUGGGGAAGCUAGGCUCUAGGAUGUGGCAUAGGUGGGUGUCACAGAGAGCAUACUCAUACUCAGUAACAGCUGAUUUGCACAGAGCAGUGGCACCAAGGUCACAUGCAGAGACUCAAGGAUCCAGAGAAGCGAGACUUACAGGAUCCUUAACAGUGGUGCCUGCAAAACCUGAUGGGGCCAGGUGUGAAGAUACCUUGACUUCAAGUCAGCCCAGGGUCCUGCUUCCUGUUCACUUCUGAGCAGACUAGCCCCACCCCGAUUUGCCAGAGAAUGGGUCUCGAGUACCGUGGGCUCACUUGGUGCCAGCCCAGCCUGUUGGAAAUGAUGCUGUUAACUUGGUGGCUAUCUUCAGCCACCUUGUCUCCUAGUUAGAAAGUGACCAUUUUCUCUUUCCUUGAAAGAUACAGUCUUCAUUAUUCUGGUUGGGCAUUGGUCCAAGGGUCUGGGAAGGACAGGGUAUUAAUAAAGUGAGAAAGUCUAAUCCAUUUCCUAGUUAAUCUCCUAAAGGCUUGGCCUUGCCUUUUCUUUCUUUCUUUCUUUUUUUAUUAGUGUAUGUUGACUCUACAGAACAGGUUUCAUUAUGACAUUUUCAUACAUGUAUAUAAUGUAUUUUGAUCAUAUGCACCCCAAAGGACUUUACUUAGUCUGGAGCCCAUGCCUAUGUGUAGCUAGUGUCACUGGGUGUGCAACGUAUGGGAUAUGGAGGUGAACCCCUCCAGCUGGCCUCCCAUUGGUGCCACCCUAGGGAUUACAGUGUCGGAUGUGAUGAAUAAAAAAGGCUCCUUUAGCCUUGUAAGCUUGGGGCAACAGCAUUUUUGGGGCCCUCCACAGGCCUCCAAGGUCAGAAUCUCUAGGACCUGCUGGAACUUCCAUUUUUAACCCUGACAUGGGUGAAUGGUCAAUGUCUUGCCUGUAGUUAAACCACAUCUCUCCUGAGCACAGGUCCCAAGCCUUUUACUGCCUCUGGUGUGUGACUUUGAUCAACCUUCCAAUAGGAAUCUGUAUGCUUUCAAACGGGCUAAUUCUAAAGAACAAAAAGUGAGAACUCCCUGGCUUGCAGUCAGGCGAGAGCCUUGCCUUUUCUUGAGAAGGAUUCUUCUUUUUCUUCUAAGGACAGUGUUCUUACAUUGGGGUACUUGGAUAUGCCUGGUUAGGAUAUAUGUAGUUUUGAAACGCACCCCAUAUGUCAUAUGAAAGUAUUUUGUACUCUGCUGGAUAGAGACGAAGAUUCACAAAAGAAUCAAGUCUUCCAAGGAGAAAAAUCAAAACCAAAAUAAAACAUAACAAAACCAAGUGUCCAAAUGUAAUUUGGACAGAGCAAUGCAAUUUGCUGCUACUUGAUUUUUUGUUUUUUUUUUUGUUUUUUUUUUUUUUUAUUCUGCUUUGGUUUUUUGUUUUUGUCUCUGCUCAUUCCACUAAUGAUGUGUGUCCUCCAGGCUUGUUGUUUGGUGUAUACAGGAAGGGAGCAUGUGUGUGUGUGUGUGUGUGUGUGUGUGUGUGUGUGUGUGUGUGCUCGCGCCUGUGCGUGUGUGUAUUGGGGAGACUGGCGAGUGUUCCCUAUCCACAGAUGAACCAUGACUGAGAGGACACAUAGGUAGAGGGUGGAGGAAGACAGGAAGGUGACUGCAGAGGUCAGGAAAGAGGAUGAAGAUAGCUUUGGCGGAUAAGAGGGGACUUUUGCAGGUUGUAGCUGUUGUGCUUUGCAAUAAAACACCACUGUUGGCUUAUAAUUGCCUCACGAUUAGUAAUUACCUUGUGUUUUUCUCUUGAGGAUUACAAGAGUGGUUCUGGUGGAAUAUUUUCAUGAUUGAGAGUGCACGAAUGUGUCUCAUGAGGGUAGACCCUCAUAAGAGGACAUUUGGCUUCUCUUUUUCUCCCAAAGUCCCCUCACUACCACAUGGCGGUCCUUCUGAUUUCCAACCUCAUGCUUUGUGUUUUUUAUUUUUUCUCUAAGCAAAAGACUCACACAGGAGCACAGUUAACACCUGGGAAUUGUCAGCUAGUAACUGGAUGUGAAUUACCAGCUGUGAAGAGGGCCAUCCAGAGCCAAAUGAUCCCGCAGAGGAACACCAUGGCUCUUUCUCCAAGAAAAGUGGUGAAAUUGAACUGUGCUGGGUGCUUAUUAAACCUUGAUCCUUUGUUACAUUAAUUAUUACACAAACUGCAGUGCAAGAGACUUCCUACCUCAAAUGUCUAGAAUAUAAAAAAGGAAAGUUGGAUAUCUAUGAUGAUUCUGGAGCUCAUGGUGGUUGGGAUGCUCUAUGCAGUCUUCAACCUGGCAGAGGCUGUCUCCAAUAGCUUCCUGGCAGAGGGUGGGCUGCUGCUCCAUUGAAUGACAGGUCUGCUGCCAAACUGUUAGUGAGCUAAAGUUCGGGGGUUUGACUGAAGCAGAAGACAUUUUCUGUGAUGGAAGUGGAGAGGGCAAAGGAAAGGAGACGAAGAUCACCUUUCCUCAGGCUCAACAGUUCAUUAGACGUCGUCUGACUUGUCCUUGAGAUGGAUUCUGCACAAGUGGUCGGUAACACUUGAGAAGAAUCUGGGUGGGAAUGGAAGGGAUUAGAGGUCUUAGCUGAGUAGACAGGAGCAACCGGUGCCUGAAAGAUGAUGGCCUGCAUGGUCCUUGACAGAUGGCUGAGAUCAGAGAAGGUAGCUGUGAUCCUGUGUCCUGAGGUCUGCUCCUCUCUCUCUCUCAGGAAUUAGAAUACUAGAGGUUUCUGGGGGACUUUGACAAAGGUUUUGCAGAGCCCUGCAAGGCAAUUAGCGCAGGGAGAAGCUCACUAAGGGCUCUUUGUUUGGCAGGAGCUGCCAUCCCUUGGAAGAGUGGACCCUUGCUCUUACUGGGCCUAUCGUUGGCCUAGAGUUCAAGUGGAGUCAUCAUGCUUUGCUUCCCCACGCUUCCUCAACCCUACUCUUUAUUGGUUGCUUUUGGGGUGGGUGGGGCUGCUCCAGAGCAAGUCCUCUUUUUCUUUCUUCCCUCGGUCUUUGGCUUCUAAGAGUAAUUUCUGCCCAGCAGUGGCAUCUGGGAGGGUGAAGUUGCUUGAAAUAAGCAACCUUACAUUGGCAGGGACUCUGCUUCUACCUGUUUCUCUAGAGGCUUUAAGAGGGCAGCCUAAACCUUUGAAGCAUUCUCCAUUCUUAACUAGAUGACUAUGUUUCUCUUCAAUCUGUUCAGACUCUUCUGGGACCCACUUUCAAGAAAAAUAGAAACAGAGUCACUACACGGGAGUCUUCCCAGGGCACAAAGGAUCCUUCCUUCUAGCUAAUGAAGGGAUGUCUGAUCCUUCCUAGAAAUGCUGCCGGUUGGGUUGCAACCAAGGGUUAAGUGUUUGGGGUUGGGGGUGGAGACUACCAGCAAUUGAGGAGUAAGUAAUAGCACCAGGAUCUUUGGGUUCAGUUGAGAGUAACAUCAGGGAAUGUUGGCUUCUCCGGUGCCUGACUGGCAUCUCUACAGAGAAUGCCUUGGUGCCUGAUGUCACUGCAUGUACCGUCUGUUUGACCUGGAGAUGGGUGAUCACUGUUCUGGGUUCCUAUGAGGUACAGAGCAAGUACCACACUCUUGGGACAGGGAGAAGCAGCUUACGUGGGUUGGGUAGAUUUUCAGCAGUGAUGGGCUGGCUUGGGGUGCGGGGAACUCUGUGAUCCAGGUACCCAUGGAUAAGUAGCCUGUUAUACAACAAGAAUUGAAAUGACAGUGGAUCAUACUUCUUCAUUGUACGAUGUUAUAUUGGUAAUAAGACAUUUAUUAGGAAGCUUCGAGUUGGAAUAUUUGCCAAGCUUAUUUCCUUGGGUAACCUCAGGUACUAGCAACUGGAUGGGUCUUUCCUUGCAUCUCCCUGCUUCGACCCAGGCAGAGGAGAGCCUGUGGCCUGCCAAUGUCUUGAAUCCAGGAUGGCGCCUCAGUUACCUCUUGAUAGGCAGGAAGUGGCCAAGGGCAGGUAGCUGCUCUAGAGGUAAGGUAGACAGAUGCUCUGGAGAUGGAUGCUGAGAUUCCUAAGUGAACGGUCACCAGACAGGGAAAGGCAAACCAGAGCCAAACUGGAGAGGCCAGAAUCAAUGAACAAGAACGGCGUGUGCUCUGUCUGAAACACCAAUGUCUGCAGAGCUAGUUUCUAAUGGAGGACUGACUCGCACAAAGUCCAGUGCAAAAGAAGAGUUGCAAUUCCCGACUCUCCCCCCUCUAUUUCUCAGUUGACCUGUCCAGUAAUGUAUACUGGCAUUCCAAUGCUAAAUCCUCUGCAAAGGACUAGCAAUUGGAGAGAGGGAAGGUUAAGAUAAUUUCUGCCCUCAUGCUCGCUAAUGUCUUCUUCCUUGACUUAUCAAGCUGCCUUCUCAUUUUUACCCAUUUGAGAAACGUCAUUUCUCCGUUUUCUACCCCAAAUCCCUCCAAUCUCUGAUCUCUCUCUGUGUGCUCCCAAGCCUCUCUAAAAUAGCAACCUAGGAAUAAACAAGCAUGGGCAACUAGAAAGGGACACAACACACACAAAAGAGGACAUCUGUUUGACACACACCUGUGUUCAUUCUGUGACACUUAAAUGCUGUGCCCAUUCAUAGUGUGAGGUGGGAGAAAUCACCAUUUCCCUCUUGUAAGUCCCACCCCCCCCACCUCUGGGUGUUAGAUGACUCACAUUUUUACCUGGGUAAUUUUUCUCUGCAGGGAUGUCUCUGUGUAAACAAGUUCAAACCCAUUGUGUGCUGUCCGUUUACUUUGUAGAUUAAUGAUGGGACAUUACAAUGGUUGGGACUGAACUGUGAGCUGAGAAGAGGACCUCUUCAUCCCCAGUGUAGGCUCCCAUGCAAUUCCUUAGCCUCACCUCACGUCUUUCGUACAGUACAUUGACUGCUAGAUAUUUACUGAUUAAUAAUUAAGCUCAAGGCAUGAAAGCCUAUAAUGAUAAACUUAUUAGAGGCUAAGAAAGGGAAAUAAUAACAGCAAACAAACUCAAGAGCUAAGGUAUUCUUUUCAUCUCUUACAUCCUCCUCUUCUUCUCCUCCUCCUCCUCCUUUUUUCUUUUUUGAGACAGGGUCUUAUUGUGUAGCCCUGGCUGGUAUAGGACUGCUUUGUAGACCGGGCUGGCCUUCAACUCAUAAAGGUCCACUUGCCCCUGCAUCCCAAGCUCUGGGAUUAAAGAGCCACCAUGCACAGGCUUAUUAUCUCCUACCUUGAUUUCAUUUCCAAGACUUUGGUGUUUUAUGUGCAAACAUUGUUCUCACCUAAGAUCCGGGGGCCGAAGAGACCUUGAAGAAUGAAAGUGGAAGAGAUGUUGGAGAGAGCUGCAUUAUGCAACCGAGCAGAGAACUGCAUUAUGCAACCGAGCAGAGACUGCUUGUGAUUAGCCCCUUUUUGCCCCAAACGUUCCCAGCCUUACCUGUUUAGGAGCUUGUCACGAUGCCUUUCAACUGAAUGUUAAGAAACUCGGAUUUUCAUUUCUUAGUAUUCUUCCUGAGAUGCAAACAUUACGUGUGUGUUACAUUUGGCUAAGAGUUAGCUUGAGAGGGACAGUUUCUUUUUGGGCAAAAUUACCAUGAAGAGACUAAGACCCACUAAACCCAAACCUUAUCAACUUAGCCAAUUGUAUUUGUACCUGCCUUUUGGCUAACCUACGUUUGAAUACGAAGUGUGUGUGUGGGGGGAAUAAAAGGUAGAAUCUUUUACAUUUGAGUCGAGCCUUUACUAUAUGUAUAUAAUAUAUAUGCAUAUAUAUACAUUUGCAUAUACAUAUAUGCAUAUAUAUAUAUAUUCACACAUCCUUAGAAUUGAAUCAGUGCACCAUAAAAGUACCUGUCUAAAGGCUCAGAAUCAACUUAUGUUUUCUUAAGAAUAGACAGCAUUUUUCUCUUAAUUUUCGUUUGGAAAAUACUAAAGUAGUUGACAAUUUCCACACAUAUUCAUACUCAAAACUGCACUCAAGUUUGCUCAGGUGUGUGUGUGUGUGUGUGUGUGUACACACACGUGAGUGCCUACCGCUGUGUGUUUUAAACCAUGCAUUUAGAAAACCUGUCUGGGAUACCACAGAGAGUGAAAGUUUGAGUCUUUGGAUAGUGUAACCCCAUCAAAAGGAGCCUGUGGCUCCACUCACUGUUCACAGAGAGUACGCACAGAUCUUUUCCCCUCCUUGUGGUCAGUUUUUUUUUUCUUUGUGAUCGGUAAUUGGCUUCUCUUGGUACGCUGAGAUCUAUUACAAAGCCAAACAUUCAGAGGCCGAGAUGAAAUGACACAAUUUGGUUAUAAUUUAUGUUGGCCCCUGACAUAUAUAUUUUUUUUAAUGAUUUGGUCUCUAAGCAACUGAUCUCUUAGCAACAAGAAGCACCUUUAUAAAAGAUGGCACACAAAGAGUGCCUGCAAGAAAAGCUAUCCGGUUUCUAAACGGCUGCGCAUCAUUAGCAAAACUCACCACCUUCAAGAGUCCAAAAACUAGAAGUGACCAGCAGAUCCAGGUAACCACGCUAUUUGCACAUUUUCCUGGAAAAAAAAAAACAAACCUCAUGCAACUAUUGAAGAGGACAAAAUUCUCUGAAAUAUACUCAUUUUAUUAGGUCUUAGUUGUUGGUCUUGUCUAACUUUUGAUAAGAGAAUGUAAUCUUUUCAAUAACUGCUUGAUUAUUUUUUUAAAAAAAUACGUUGGACAUGGAUUUUGUAAUCAGAAAACAGCUCUCUCAAAACAAUCUCACUGGUGCGAGAAGAGAAGAGGGGAGCACUUUCUCUUUUGCAGAGUUUCAUUCGAAGGAACAAAUGCUCUGUACUGUGGGAGACGGACGUGCAAACUGUCUCACCCAAGCCACGCACACAGUGGUGAGAUAAGUGUGUUUUUAGAGUCUUGAAAUAUUUAAAGAGUAGCAGAAUUGUUUUACUUCUUUAACUUCAGCUGUUUGCUUGAUUCAGUGUCAAUUCCAUUUGUCAGAGACAGUAAGGUUGUUUUCCCCCUCCCCUUCAAAACACAAAAGCAAGCAUUUUUCCCCCCAUUGGUGUUUUUAAAAAAAAAAAGGUACAUUCCUGAACUAAAAAUAGUAGAAAUUAUAGCCAUCUGUGUCGUCUCGCUUGCUUUUUCCAGGUAACUAAAAGUUGAUGUUGAAAUUCUUUCUAGAAAAUUAGAGUUAGAGAAGAGGAACGAUUAUUUCAUUGGUAGCCCUUUAAUUAAGAUUAUGUAAUUAUCAGCCCAAUUUGGGGGCACUCGAUGGGCAGGAAAGGGAGAAGUGGCUUGUUGGGAGGUUGGGUGGGGGCAAAAUAAAAAAGAAUCUUCAUGGAGCUUGGAAGCAGCUCUGAAUAGAGACACCACAGGCAGAAUACAGAAUGCCACAGACUGAGAGAGAUGAGUCGGGAUGGUGAUGGUGACUUUUGGUUUCUACGUGAACUGCAGCACCUUCUCUAAAUCAAAUCAUCUGCAGACAGUUUCUAAAAACGAGAAAGGGGGGGGGCAGAUAGGUUGGAGGGGGUACAUAGCUUGGAUCAGGAAAUCCCAAACCAGGACAAUGCCUGAAGAUUUGGGCGGGAUGUCUGUCCCUCUGAGUACCCCGAGAGCACAUCGUUAUGCCUUGUGUUUUUGUCUGUGCUAGCAACUCCAGGCAAAACUCCUUCCUGUGCCGGCUGCAAAUCGGGAGUUAGUAACGUGUGAAUUCUGAGUUGCAGAAACUUUAAUAAGCAGUAUACUGUGAAUGUAAGGAGGACCGCAUAGUCUUCCAGGGCUAAAUAAUCUCUGAAUUUCUAGUGCAGUGUGGGCAUGGUUGUAAAAAGGCGUCUUGUGGUUUCAAUGCUAAGGAAAAGAGAUAAUUCUAUUGUAUAACAUGCUAGGUGUGUUUUCAGUUUCAAGUGCUCUGCGGUCUCUUGGACACCGAGGAGGUUUAGGAGAGAGAAGCAGAAAAGCGGUAGUAACAUUUGUAGUGCAGGUGCCAGGGGGUUUGUCAUUGUUCUUUUGAGAUGUGUUGGUUGGAGCCAUGGCUGUUCACCCCGAGGGUCAUAUCUUCUGAGUUUUUUGUCUAUGCAUAAAGGUGACAGAGCUUGUGGUUUUGGCUGAUUUGGUGAGCCUUUCUUUCACUAGGACGGACAAACAAUUGCAGGGUUUGAGAUCUACGUUUGAAACACUCUGAGCAAACUGGCUCAGGCAGACCUUGCUCUGUAGUCUUGAGAGUGCGUUUUGGUCAUUUUGGGCACACUCCCUUGUGCGUGCGCACGCAUGCACGCACGCACUCACGCGCGCGCACUAAUGAAUGGUCUCAACGGAAAAGAGAAAUGUCAAAGGGAGGCACAAGAGCUCACCGGGCAAAGGAAGAGCUUUCAUUUCAAAAACUGAGGGUUUGCACCACACCCGUGUCUCCACACCCUAGACAAGCUGAACAGUUACUUUGCUGAAAACCCCAGGCUUGGGUCAGGUGUGAGGUGAGGAGGGGUAAGGGGGGCAGUUACAAGGUCCCCUGUCAUAUUGCUGUGAGGAGGUACCGUAUAAGCUACCUUAAAGUCAAAGUUAACGUGGUCAGCCUGUAACUUGACCAACUGCUAUACAGUCAGUCAGUCAGUCAGUCAGUCAGUCAGUCAGUCAGUCAGUCAGUCUUGGGCAGCAAUGCCUCCACCGUCUUCAGCAGGCCAUGCCUGGCAUAGCACAGUCUUUCUGUGGUGCGAGAGAAACAAGAGCUAUAACUGGAACAGCAGCUUUGGCCGAGGCACCCAGUGAGCGCUGGGCAGCUGCUGAAGUGACAGUUUUGUUUAAUCCUCACAACAACUGUGUGGAGGUAUAGGUGUCUCCAUUUUACACACAUGUUAAGUAAGCCAGGUUCAGCAGUUUGCCAAGGAGUCCCCUAAACGGCGAAUAGCAAUAUUGGGAGUUAAACACAGGGCAGUCUGACUCCCAAGCCUGUGAGAUUUUCUUGAGCCAAUGGCGAGCUUCUUCUCAAUGCCGUUGGAACAGUCCCUCUUAGUAAAGAAAAGGCUCUAGGAACUGGGCUGGAGGUGGUGAGCAGGGCAUCUUCACACAGAAGAAAUCCCUUUGGGAGGGAUGCGGGUCCUGGGCUUUCAGGGGCUGCCUCAGUCUAUGAACUGGAGGUGGACACUCAGUCAGGCUGUGGCAGCGACAGCCACGAGCCAUGUUGCCAUUCCUUGCCGUGAUGUACGUCUCAAGUGUAGGACUCCCAGGGGGCACACUUUCUGGGAGAGCUGCCUGAGGCAGGCCUCCCUCCCUGAUGGGAACCCUAUCCCUGGAACAUGACAGCUGAAGGCUUCUCCUGCACAGAAGGUGCAAACUAGGUCAAGUGGCAUGCCACCUAGGGAGAGCGUGGGAAUGGAGGGAAGAUCUGGGGCUGGGUGGGCAUGGCUGUGGGGAAUGGAACAAUAACGGAAAAAGCACGACUUUCUUCUGAGGUCACUAUUUCACACUUAGAAGAUGGUGGUGUCCUGUCUCCUUGGGCUUACAGGAUUGCCCUCAUCCCUCUGGACCCUUCAAAUGCCCCUGACAAAGGAUUUGGUGUUAGCAAGGUUCUCUCAAGAGCACCCUCCUGAAACGGUUUCUGGGUGGCAGAAGGCUGGCGGGAGAGGGCAGGCAGGGCAGGGCAGCUGGGAUUAGUCCGGGAGACAACCACACAUGCAACCCUAUUUCUUUUGAUCUUACAUCAACCAGCUCAGAGACUUGGGCGGUCUUGCUUAAAGCCACAGAUGGUUCGUGUAGGUGUAAGAGCCCUGUGGUUUUUCCUUCAGUCUGGGAAGGAUGAUGGUUCAUAUGGGCAGAAGAGACUCUGCAGUGUUGUACAGAUUCCCAGUGGUUUGGGCGGGGGUGGGGAGGGUGGACUUGGCGUGAUCAUUGAAGUGAAUGCAGGUGAAGAACUUCACCUACCACAUUCGAAUCCAUCUCAGUAGGAGGGUGUCUAGGGGUUGCCAAAGGUACAAGGGACAACCUGCCCCUUUCCCAGUUCCUCCCUUGCUGAGCCCCACCUGUGGACACUUGCUCUGGCCAUAUGCCAGAGAGCUUAGGAAGUCUGAAGCACUUGCUUACUGGUACUUUUUACUUUUGAAUAAGAACCGUCCUUGUGCAAAACUGGGCAAGAAGUCUUGCUUCCAGUUUCCUGGGACUCUUGUGUCUGAUGAUAGACGCUCUUCCCUCCUUGUGUUCCUGCCUGGUGUGUGGUGCUAUGACACAUAUGCUACACGUGCGCUGACACCCUGUGAGCCUUGCAUGGCAUGCGUACGUAACUCAUGCUGCAUCCCACCAAGAAGUGCACACCAAGCCUCCUUUUAUCUGACAAUGCUGGGCAGAAGAGGACCGCUGAACUUACUCUAGUCCUUGAAUAUAAUAUAUCACUAUGGAUCCUGGGAGCUGACUUGGAAAUUGCAUAAUUUGGACUUCCUGUUUUGGAGCUGAGAAAACUGAGUUAAUGGUUCUCACGCCUUGGAUUAAAGGCUGAAGAUAGAAUCCAGUUCUCUUGGCUCGGCGCAGUCCAGUGCUCCUUUUCCUCUGUAUGAUAACAAUUGUAAUUCCUUUGAGAAGGGUAAUAGCGUAGGCCAUUACCCGGGUUUUAAAGACAGGAAACGCUGGGGGCAUGAUUAGGACAAGGCUACUUAAAAAAGUACUAUUAAAACUGUGAAGGUGAUUUGGCAACCCUCCAAAAUUAGUCAUCCCCAUUUUGUCUGUUGAACAUAAAUGUGGGGCAUCAUAUAAAAAUGAAGGCAGUGGUGUCCCCAAAGAGCUCUUCAGCCUGUUAAAUCACACAGUUUUCCUCCCUGUGUGAAUUAGCAAGCAGAAGAGGAGGUGGAGUGCUCCCUACUGCUAGGAAGCCUAGCAUCCAAACCGAUCAUUCAUUUAUGUAAUCUGCAGAAGAGAAAUAAGCAUGCAUCUGCGUGUUUGAAUUGCAGAGCCACAACCCAUAUCACAGAUGUGACUGUGGAAAGGGUGCUAUCAGACUGCCUUCCUGUUGGAGCAAGUUUCCUUCCUACAGACGGUUUUAAUUCCCUUGUUUUUGAGUCUGGCACUCUCCUGGAGGAGGAUGGAGCAUAAAGGGGUGUGUGUGUGUGUGUGUGUUGUGGGGGGGUGGGUUGCAGAAACUCUGAUGACUAUGCCAAACACCUGAGCUGUGAAGUCAUCAGCAUUGGGCUCCUAUGGUCACUUUGUGUGUUGACACCAUUGUAUAGAUUUAAUAUUGAUGACCUGGCAUGUUGGUAUUCUAAACACCUUUUUUUUCUCUUUUUUUGCACAUGAGAAAGCAGAGAUUUGAAGAACAGAGGGUGACACCACAGAGUGGCAUUUGCCCUCAGCAUGUGCUGGCGAUACAGAGCUAGAUAAGACAUGGUCCUUGUCUUGAAGAAGCUCAACCCCUAAUGACGCUUGUGUCUAAUUAACUUGGGGACUUGUGUUAUUUAAGAAUCAAGCCCAGUUUAAUGGUGAGGUUUUUAAGUAGAUACUAAAAAAAUAUUUUGGAACACAUUCUGAAGGUUGAAAGCGGUCUGACAGAAGAUCUACACCGGGGUAUGAAAAUGUAGACCUAGUGUUUGAAAGGUGGGCUGGGGAGGGGUAUAGGGCCUGUGGAAUAAAGGCAAGAGCACAGAAGAGAGGAGAGUGGUGGCACAUGCGGGUAACCCUAGCAUCUGGUAGGUAGAAAAAGAAUUGCUGCAUGGUUGCUGCCAACCUGGUCGUUCUACCUAGUGAGUUCUAGGCUAGUUAGGGCUACAUAGUGAAAUCCUGCCUCAAACAGACAAACAAACAAACAGAAAAACGAAGACAAACAAGAAAAACAAAACUCAAAAGAACAUGGGAGAAGUGGUCAGGCCUCACGAAGGACCAGGAGGCUUUACGGUUCCUUCCCUUAGCUAAAGGGGUUCCAGUUGGAGGGAUAACCCAAACAAUGAGCUUGUCAUUGGGUUAGCUCUCCGUGUGUGUGUGUGCGUGUGUGUGUACAGACAGUAGCCCAGAUAGUACACCUGUGAUAGAGCAGAGAGAGGAAGACAAAUAAGUACAGUUUCAUGAGUAGAGGUCUCAAGGCUCAGCUGUAGAAAAGGGUGGAAGACGGGCCCCUAAACAGCUACAUCAGCAAAACGUCUCAGCUCUAGCUUGGAGGACAGCUCCAUGAGUGUUCAGAUGGAGUCUUUACUUCAGAUAACCUUUUACCUUCCAUAUAUCCCAGCACCUCCGGAGACUGCCCACAACUGGUUGGGAGGGGAGACUGCCCUCCAGGUUGGGAGGGGAGCACAUAGAAGGGAGUGGCUGGAGAUCGCAGGUUGGCUCUCUCCACUCUUCUGGGAGUCUUUCCUGCAGGUAGUCACAGCACUUGGCAAUAUAAAACACUUACAGAAAACUCCUAAAAGCAGCAGUUUGGAUUUGGUGAGUGGAAAGAGGGGAUGCAUUGUAAUGUUUGUUACUGCAGGCUCUUGACCUUUCUUUGUUCUUUUGUUGUGCGGUGGUUUUUAAAUAUCACCAGAUUGUGUGCACCUAUUAAAAAUACGUGCAGAGGAAAUUGGUUUUGUCUAUCUGACACUUUUUUUUUUUGAGACAAGGUCUCACCAUGUAGCCUGUGGCUGGCCUCGAACACACUCUGUCGACCAGGCUGGCCUCAACCUCACGGCGAUCUGGCUUCCUCUGUCUCCUGAGUGCUGGGAUAAAAGGUGCAGCACACUUAGAUGCUGUCAAACUUUUUAAAUGGUUGAGCUUAUCAAGAAUGGCCCUAGUCACUGGGGAUAGCACCUAACCUCAGACUAAUUUCUGAGAAAGCAAUGGAAGGGGCACAGUGGUCAGCUGGUGGAGAGGGAACCGGGGGACAACAGUAUCCUCAAUGGAAAGAGGAAUGUGGGCUUUGCUGUCUGUCUGGGUGGAAUUGGGGUGAGCUCGUUGGUCCACAAAGUUUAGAUUUUGUAAAUGUGCUUAUCCAAGUAGGACUCUUCCUUGGAAACAUUAAACACACUGAGUCUAAGGAAAGACUUCUGGUCUUCUGAGGGUAGAGGACAUGUAAAUCAAGUCAGAAGGGUCAUUUAGAUAUUCAUGUAUUAGAAUUUCAAAGUUACUGUAAUGGUUUCAUGGGGAUCACCAGUCUUGGGAAAGGAAGUCAAGACUUUCCAGGAGCUGGAAUAGUGACAGGAGUUUGGAGAGGUCUUGUGGGGUACUAAGGAGAGGGGCAAUGUAGCCUUGGGACUGUAGACAGCCAACUCUGCUAGGUUAGCUAGGAGGAGGGAGACAAAGAUAGAUAAAAGUGACCCAGAAGCAAGUUGAGCUAUCCCAUUUUUGGGAGAUGUUCUCUUGGAAGGCACCAGAGAUGUGCAGGGUGUUGUGACUUGCAAACAGUUCAUCAGACAGAGUAAAAGAGGAGGACUCAGAUGCCCCCAGAAAGCAACUUGGGUAAAUGGGAAGCUAAGAAACCAGAUUAUUGGCAAGCAACACAGGAGGAGAGCAGCCACGAACCGUAUGCUUACUGAAUGAAAGCCUGAAGAUCUGUCCUCUACAGAGGUCACGUGUGGAUCCUGACUGCCUUUGAGGCCUGGAGAUGGUUAGCUUGAGGUGGGUGGAGAAGUCAUAGAGACUGAUAGGAGUUAGCCAUUUCUUAACUGUGGACUCAUAUCAAGGAAACAGUGUCAACUUGAUAUUUAAGAUGGAUCUACCUCUCCUUAUUGUACACGGUAUUUUUUUUUAAUCACUUGAGAGAUUGACAUGUGAUAAAACACCCACCAAAUGGCGGCAGGGGUGCAUCAUAAAUAAAGUUCUACACAUUAACUAUUGCUUAAUCUGUGUUUCUCGGAGUCUCUUCGCUGUCUAGGGACUCCUUGAAGUGUUUGUUGUUGGCUUGGUAAAGAGAGGAAGACAAACACUGACAGGAGGAGCUUCAGUAACCCCAAGGCCUAACUCGCACAACAGCACUAGAGUCUCACGACAAAGGUUUAAAAUGGGAAAGGGGAGUGAGGGGAAGAAGUACUGGGCCCCCUCGGUGAGCUUUUGCAAGACUUCAGCAUAUGGGGUUGGUGUAUGAGAUCCAGUUUUGUUCCGAAGACUGCUUGCAGUCAAUUGGGAUGUAAAAGUUAAAAAUUUCAAAACCAAGAAUUACAAAACAAAACACAGCGAGCUGAGGGAUGCACCCUGAAGAAUACACCCCAGACGGCAGUGCAGGUCUGAAACCUGUGGGAGAUGGGCUAGAGCUUUUUGGACAGCCUUAAGCAGUUGCCAUGUCAAAGCCGUCUGCAAGAAGAGUCCUGUAUUGACUGGAAUUGACUGCCUAGAUUAUUGUAAUUAUCAAACAGUAUUAAGUGCCAACUAGCUUAACCGGAAAUGAAAAGAGGUUUGAUGGGCCUCUCUAUGAAAAAAAGACGUAACCUGGGACAGCAAGCUCAUUUGAAAAUGUGCAUAAUGACUAGUUACCAGGAAAGUGACGGCUGAGGCCCGAGGAUGGCUACGACCCCCAGACUGGCACAUCCCAAGUGUUGGCAAGAAUACGUGGAGCAGUCAGGAACACCUAGACUCUGGUAGAGGGGCAGUGAAACUUUGACGGUUAACUGUCUUAGUACUUGGAAACAAGUACUAAGUGUGUGACACCAUCAUUUUUUUCUUAGCUUCUCACCUAGGAGAAGUGAAAUAGUUGCAGUGUAAAGACUUUUCUACUCAUUUAUCAUGGCACCCUUAUUUGAAACAGCCAGAUCUGGGGGGGUGGGCAACUUGGGCAUUUAUUAAGAAUGACCUGGAUAAAGCAUGGUAUGGCUCUACAUUAGAAAAGCACCCAUCAGUGUUGAGGGGCAAGCAACUGGCACUGGUGGACCUCAGAAUGCAGAUACGUGAUGGACGGGGACUGGAGGGGGAGUCUGAACCGUGUAGUUUUGCUGACUGAGGACUCUAGAAUGUGUGAACCAUUCAACAAUACAGGGAACAUGUAGGUGGUGGUCUGUGGAGGGGGCAGGAAGAGGAUGGAUCACAGUGAGGUAAUGGCGGUUAACUGUCUUGGCUUUGGAGACAGCUACAUAGGCAAUAAGACUCACACAAUCUGACAUUUUAAGGAUCAAGGAUUAUCUGUGUCCGUUAUGGUUCAGUCAGUGGUUCAAGUGCUGCAGGAGCCGGCAAGGUCUGCUGCAACAGACCCUCCCACCUGUGUUAUGAGAGGCCUUGAGGAGUUCCCCAAGAGAGAACCCAGCUUUUACACAAAACCGUCUCAGAUACCUGGAUGGAUAUUUAGGUUGCCCACUUUUAAAAGUUGGGGCUGGUGUGAUUGUAUAUAACUGUGGAUGUAUGUGGCAGGGGACAGGACUGGCAAGACAGAAGAGAUGGGAUUUGAUAUGAGGAAAUAUGACAGGUGCCUCAAUCCCACAUCUGAUUUGAAAGUGACCCAGGAAAAGCUUUAAAGAGCCCGAGUAGCCAUGUCUUGGAAACUUACACUCAUCCUCACUCAGUGGUAGUCCCCUCUCCACAGACUAACACGGUGCUGGUCAGAUCUAUGUAAUGAUAUCAAGUGGCCCUAGCUCCAGGGCAAGGUGUGUCUCCCUGGGGUCAAUAAGCCUGCUUACUAUUCCAUCUGCUCCCCACCACCACCACUUCCCACACUGUUACUCCAGCUCCACCAAAAUCCUUUCCCCUACAAUAUUUCCAACUCCACUUCUUCAUUUAACACUGAUUCCUGAAGACUCUGCUUUCCCUAGUAAAUGUGUUUCAAUAAUUGUUCUGGUUCCAGUGCUGGGAGCUGGAGUUGGUGUUUUCUAGACACCCUACCGCCAACCCUUGAACCUAUCUUUCUUUUUCCUUCUUCUAAAAACCACACCCAUCUGUUCACCCUGUUGCCCUCACUCCUGAAGGCCUUAGUGCCUUUCCCAGGUCUUAUACUCCACCCAACCCUUGAUGUUAUUUUAAUUAACGAUGUCUUUCUAAGUAACGAUGUCCCUGUGGCUGCUCCAGCUAGAGCUAGGGCUCCCCUGUUGCUGGACGCCGCGCCUUCAGUGAUCCAUCCCCCUCCCCAGCCCACCGGCUCAGCACGCAUUUGUGUGGUCACGGCUUUGUUUCUUCCCCCUUUCAGCUCGGUUUACCAAGCGCCUACUCUUAAGAGUUCUCCAGGCUCUCCAAGAGCGGAGUCUCUCUGCUUAGCCUCCGCCUUGAAUCCUCCAGUCUCCAUUUUUACCGGGAUCAGAAGACACGAUUUUUCCCCCCAUAGUGUCCUGCAAAUAUUAUAGUCUGCCCUCUUUUGGCCCCACUCGUGUCCUUCCCUGACAAAUGUGCAGCUUUGUCUGCAGUCGGGCCUGCAUCUAUGAAAAUUAGUGGAGAUUAUGACACAGCUGGGCGCUGUAGCAUUGCUCCAAUUCAAUAUUCUCCACGAUCGAUCGGGGGAGUCUCAACACUCAGUGCUCAGGAGUUUAUCGUGUUCCUCACGACGACCCGCCCAUCUCAACUCUCCCUUCCUUCACAAUCAGUCCGGACCCCGACCCCCAGGGCUCCCAGAGAAAAGACUGGCAAGAAAAUACAAUGCAGCCUGCAUGACACCCCUUAGCUAAGGCCAGACACCUGACACGCCCGUCCCUUACUCCCUGGCCUGAGGCCUGCUCCAGUGAUAAAUGCUUUCUAAAUCAACUUCUUUCUCACUACUGGUUUCUUUCCUUCAGCACUCGAUGAUGAGAUAGUAUCUUCUCUUUGCAACAAAGUUAAGCUGAUAGACCUCCUUCAGUGCACAGGUCCCUCCAGCGGUCCCUCCUCAGUCUCCUCCCAGUUGUAGAUGCUUUUCUGAGGAUUGGUAGACACCGAUUCCUCUUAGCCUCCUCCACGCCCAUCCCCUUUCUCCUUUCAGUUCAGGCUUUCAACUCAACAAAGAAACUGUUCCUGCUGCUUCCACUCUGAGCAGCGCACUUUAGCCAAUGCCAGUGUCCAGCCUUCAGCCGAUUUGUAUAGUGAGCAAUGUUGGUCUCACACUUACACUCUCCUUCUAGCAACACACUUUUUUUUUUUUUUUUUUUUUUUUGGUUUUCUGAUAGAAGAUGCCAUGUCUCACCUGUCCAUCCCUUCUCCCUUCUAAAGGCCAAAUCCUUAAGUUCUUAGGAAGCUUUGUUCACGCACCCUCCUUUGGCAGUUUCAGUUUCUCCUACGGUGGUCAAUACCAGCUCUCCAGUAACUGAGGUUAGGGGCCUGGCUUAAUGGUGGCUAAAAUACUACCUCAUGACUUACCUCAUGACUGACAGAGACAAGGCACUUACUUGGCUGUUUAUCUGCAUAGUAUUUCUCUCUCCUCUAGACUAUCAGGGCCAAGGGCGUGCAGCGUGUUCCCUAUUCACCAAGACUAUGCAGUCUAUUUGGCCAACGUAGAAGAUAAGUGACCGUGUUUGAUGACUAACUUCUCUGCUUGGUGGGCCUUUGCUUGUCUUCACGGCAUUGUCUAACCUAGAAAAGCCACUUCUCUCUUUUCUGUAGAUUCAAGUGGACGGUUGUUUUUGUUUUGUUUUGCUUUGCUUUUGUGGAAGAGACAUUAAAUUUUUUUUUUUGCUAGAAGUGGGGGCAUUCUAUAUUUGUGUUAAGAAAACACUACUAUCAAGUGUGUGUGAGCAUGCACACGCACGUGCGUGCACUUGUGUGUUCUUCAGAGUUUCAAGUAAGAGGGCGCCAAGUUGAGCCGCAGUUUCUGAUGCCUGGUCAGCAGUAGCAGGGGUAUUUGUGGUUCUUUUCCAGAUGAAGGUUGGUGGAAGUCUCCACUCACAGGUAGAAUUGAGAUUAGAGAGGCGGGGCAGGUGAGGCUUUCCAAGAUGAAAGUAGACUUGUCCUUUGGGAGUAAGCUGAUGGGCAAUGAUGAACUGCUGAGUUCUUUCACCUUUCUCCCUCCUUGGGCACACACACACACACACACAUACACACACAUACACGGACACACGGACACAGACACAUGGUUCUUUUGGAAUGGCCAACUCCCCUUUUCUUAUUGGAAUCCUGUCUUUUCUCGUCCGUUUCUCUAUGAAGUUCUAUCUUCCCCCCAGAACGACAGCUUUCCCACCUCCCAGCGCUUAUUCAAGUACCCAACAUGGAUUUGAAUGUUGACUUUAUCAAAGCAUGGUACCUACCAUCUGAGGUCAAAGGGCAACUUCUAACUGGAACAGAUGAAAAGAUAUCCUAGACAUCUAAGAACGGAGAGUUGGUAAAGGACACUAGGUGAAUGGCAGACACAUCGUUGCCCCUUGAUUUUAUCACAGUUCAGACGAAUCGUGUGUCAAUAAUGCUUAAUGUUCAUUCAUCUGGUGGUCAAGAGCGUGCUAUGUCAGAAGCAUAAGCGUGUUUGUCUUACAAUGUCAGAAUUUGUUGAACAACAAGAAUUUCACAGGCGGUUUGUCUUGUUGGCAGCUAGUGAAUGUGACAAUAUCAGAUUCUUUGAUAGGAGAGGCAGGAUCUUUCACCCAAAUCUUUAAAAAAUACUUUUAAAUUGUGUGCGUGCCUGUGUGUGCAUACGGCAGGGGCCUGAAGAGUUCAGAGGCAUCGGACCCCUUGGAGGUAGGGUUAUAGAUACUUGUUUGCCACCUAUUUGUGGGUGCUAUGAUUUGAACUUUGUCCCUCUGAAGGAGAGUAUUCUCUCCUAACCACAGAGCCAUCUCUCCAGUCCUCUUUUGUUUGAAUCUUAAUUACUACAAUUAACUCUCAAAUCUUAAAAUUACCCUUGAAGACAGUAAGCAUCAAGGCUGUGGAAUAGUUGCAGGGUGCUACAGAAGUCCCAGCAGAGUUUAAAGAUGCCUGGGCGGCCCAAGUUGGGAAACCCACCCAAAAGAUGCAAAAGAGUAGGAUGGGCCUGGGGCCCGGUUAGAGGUCAGACAGCUAACUCCACUGGAGGUCCUCUGUAGGUACCUCUGUUGCUGAUGCCGCCUUUGAGUCCUUUCAAAGUCAAACUACUAGAGUGAGGUGCAGCUGGGGGGAGGGAGUAGAGUCAAAGGGGCAGGGCUGGGGAAGGGGAAGGGAAAGGGAAGGAGGAUGGAUGGACCAGUGAAUGGCAGAUCUAGAGGGAUGAAUAGGUAGUCAGCGGCUGACUAUAUGCUGGCUUCGUCAAUCCCCUGGAUACCUGGCUAAAUUGAAGAUCCUAGGAUAUAAGACAUUCUCUGUCAACCUCUUGCCAUACAUAGGGGCUGGUCGGAUGAGACCACGGAUUGGAGCCAUGGCCAUUGCUAUAUAGCACAUGUGUUUAAACAAUAGCACAUCUUUAAGGCGAUCUGGUGAGAGAGUCAUGCACUUUUCUUUGGACUGGUGUGUCUCAGGCCUGGCUUUUGCGAUUCUGGUUUCAGGACACUCAUGAGCUCCUACGGCCCCCUGUUAUUUUUCGAUAAGAAUAGGAUGGCACCAUUGCUACUCUUAAGAGGAGAAUUAGGUAGCAGUCUAUGUUAUGCAGAUGGCGCUGGAUGGACGGGCGGUAUUUUAUGUACCCAACAAGGUUCACAGUCACCCUGCCUCUCCUCAUGAUGGUGUCAAAAGCUGUCUAUAAGAUGGAGUCUAUUAGGCAGAAUGCAGUGUGAAAAGGCAGGAUUCUUCAUACCUUACAAAAGUAGCAUAGGGCAGGGCACAGAUUGACCUCAACACUCGUGAGGUCGACGGAAAGGUCAUGGGUGACCCCACUUUGCUCCUUCCUUUGAUCAGAAUAAACUCUCCAACUCCAGACUAGCCCAAGAUACUACCCCUCGGCUUUUAAAUAGCUCUACAUCUUACUACAGAUCAGCUCCUUCCAAUUUACCUCUUCCCAGGCUGUCUGUGUAUUCAUGCUGUGGCAAUCUGUGUAGCCUUUUAAAUGGGACAAGACAUUUAGUCACACCAGAUGUAUCCUGUAGCAGAUUGGAUUCAAAUACGCUCUGGGUUGACCUAAGCAGAUUCCACUCCCACUCCCACCCCACCCCACCCCCGCCAACCCCCAACUUAAAAGCACAGGUUCAGUUCUUUCCCUGACUCCUCCUUAGAUUUCCCAGCGUCGUCGGCCCAGCCUUCGGCAACACUUUAGGGCCAGUGUUUCUGGGAGAAGGGUUAGGAUGCGUUUGCAUUUGUGCUCCGCGCCAUCAGCAUCUUUGUUGAGAUUUCUAGUUCUUGUACACCUGGCAGAAAGAAGGCUGUUCAGGGAAAGAAGCUCUGCUUUCUUUUGCCCUCCUCUGAGCAGGGCUGCUCUCUCCUUCAUUACUUUUAGUUGAUUGUCUGGCUUCCUUUCUUUGGAGGUGUAGUGCCACAUUAACCCUUGCUGUCUGGAUUAGUUUUCCUGUCUUUUCCCCUGGGCCUUAUUGGUCCCGGGCCUUAAGGCAGAAAUAAGGUGGUCUUUGUGCUCUCCUGUCCACCCUCUUCCCUCAAUGCUGGAAACUUGACACCACACCACCUUGAGCUUAGUUGGAGUUGGGAGUGAGUCAGUAAACCAUAAACAGGAUCCUGGCUAUUUUUUUUUCUCCUAACAAAGUGCCUCGCUUGCCUUUGCCGACACUGAAACUCCUCAUCUUUUCUCUGCCCACACACCCUGGCUUCCCGUGGAUUCUCCCCAUCUGCCUGGCAUUUUCUUCCUACCUCUAGAGAGCUUUCCAGGCUUCUGUGUCCCUGGCACCUGCACCAUCAAUUCUUGCUCUGGUUCAUUUCUAAGAUGGAGAAUCAGGGUAGCUGGUUUACAGGGCUGUCCUAUGGCUUCCUGUGUCUCUUGGCCUGUCACGGUCCCCCACCCCCACCCCCUCUCAGCCCACUGCAGCAUUCAGAGGAAGCCUUAUAAGAGCUGCUUCCUUGACAAAGGAGCUGUUUGUCUUGGAACGACAAAGCUACGAGUAACGUCCAAUUUGCCCCUCCCAGACCUCCCCUGAAGUGGGAACGGAGCACGAGAUGUCUCCCAAGGUCUUUUAUUACAUCACAUUUCCUUGCACUUAGCCAAAAGGAAUUAUCCAUCUCCAAGUAUUUCUAAACAUAAUGUACUCCUAGAAGCAACAGUUGUAUAACAAGCACAACAUUUUAUUUUAUUUUAUUUUAUUUUAUUUUAUUUUAGGCAAGAAGUGAAAUUUGGAGGCUCUGGUGAUAUUAUUUUUCUUUUGCUGUGAUAAAAUAUCACGACCAGAAGCAACUUAAGGAAGUUGCUUAGGAUUCCAGAAGGUUAGAGUACACAAUAAUAGGUUUGGCAUAGCAGUGGAAGUGGAAAGUCACAGGCACACAUGGGUGACACACUUCCUUUAGCAAGGCUGCACCUCCUUGCGGUUCUAUAUCUUCUACAAAGAGAGUUCCACAUGGUAGGGGCGCCACAUGCAAAUGACCUCACAGGAAUAAAGACGUGUUAGACAUGUCAAUAUGUGUAUAUGUAUAGUGAGCAACAAGGUCUGGGGGAAGCUGAUGGGAAGCUGAGAGAAUGCCAAGCUUUGUGGCCAGGAGACGGUGAUUUGGAAAGUGGGCAACCCUCACUAAAAGGAGGCAGGGUCCCUGGAGUGCUAGCCAGGGCCUGUUUGAGGAGCCCCCAGUAGGAAGGCUGCAAAUACAAUACGUGUGGGCUGCAGUGCAUAAAGAUCAGGAAGAACAGACUGGAAGCCUUGGAGAUGAGACCAUGGUUCCAAGGUGGAUGCACUGGGUCACAGUCUUGUCUGCCACCAAAUCGCUGGCUGACUUUGGGCAGGCUGACCUGAAAUCAUACCACCACCACCCCCUCAAGCCAGUGUGAGAAGACUGCUGAGAGCCACGGCACAGAGUAGGUGCUCAAAUAAGCAGGUGCAUGUAAGCGCACAGCUGUGCAUAUGGUUGCUACUGUAUUUGUACACAUGAAAGCAUUUUGCGACUUCCCCAAGGGAAGCAUGAAAUUGAAGCGGUGCUUCUGUUGGCUCUCAAGCCAAGAGCUCUGAAGCCUUCAGAGCCAUUAAUGGCUCCAGGACCGUGGAAGACAAUUCUAUGAUUCGUUGUUAUGGGAAAUUCCCAGAGUGGGGCCCUCUCACCAUCACAGAAUCGCCACCAUACUGUAGUACCACGGAAUAAACUUUACCUCUGGGGUAGAUUAUGACGUAUAGCUGUAACAUAGUGGACAGCAGCCAUUGUCCCCACCGCCCAUGAUGGUAACCUCCUCAGCACUGGCACUGCAGGUAGAGAGUCAGGACUGACGGCUGUGGAAUCAACAUCUGUGACUAACAUGUCUCAGUGACAAUAAAUUAUCUGAACUGGGCACUUGAGAGCUAACGGGGAAGUGUUAACAGCAGGACAUUUUUUCCCUUGGGCGAUUUUUUUUCCCAUCCAUGACUGCCUGUCCAAUACUCCUCAUUUGACUUUUUUUUUUUUUGAAAAUUCAGCUCUUUCUGACAUUUUUCCUCCUUCUCAAUAUCUCUGUGUUUUGAAGGGUGUUAUUGUCAGUCAUCCCUUCCCGGAGAGCAGAUCUUCUAACUGUGCUUAGCAUUCCCCACGAGAAUGGGGGUCAAAAUCCUCACAUACUGAGAGAGGCAGGUGGUGCCUCCUCCAUUAUAUGACGAUGGGAUCAAGAGGCUUGGUAACUUGCCCAACAAAAGUUACCGCUCUGUUAAGUGGCAUAGUAAAGAUGUGUUUGUCUUAAACGUCAAGUUCUUUUCAGACGUGUACUGGAUCAAGGUGUCUAGAGACGAUGAAUCGGGAAUGACUAGCAUUGGGCACUCAUGCCGGCCCUUCCACUGCUGUACUUAUGGGAUUACCCUUCUCCCACGGGUAGAGCAAGUCUCAAACCCUCGGGUUAGAGGGGGCGGAUGAUUGACCAUUAGGUGCCCUGCAGCUUCAACAGAGAAGACGGCUUCCUAAAUGCAUGCUACUAAGGCUUGAGUGUGCUUACCCAUUCCUGUGAUCUUGGCUCCUGGAGUGGGGAGGGGGAAGGCAGGGGGAUCGGGACCUCUAGAUCACUCUCAGCUACAUAGCAAACUUGGGACAGUCCCAAGGUAUACAAGACCCCAUCUACAAGUAAAUAAAAUAAAGGUUAUUAAAGUACCCUGCUUCUUGUUUCUUUGAAAAUGGUAUCUUAAGCCAGCUACCUGAUUUUAUUAAUUUGUGCCCAGGGCAGAGGAAAGAUGAAGAACAGGUUUCCAAAGAGCCAGGGAUUGGUUAGUUACCGAGAAAUCAUUCAGGGACGCCUCUUUUGGGAACACCCACUUUGACUUCGCCAUGGUGUUUGCUGGUGGACUGACUCCUGUCUGGUUCUGUGUGAACCAAGCCCAGGCUCUCGUUGAACUGGACGAUGGUACUGUGAACUGUUUGGGCUCCUUUAUCGUUGUGGAAGCCAUCAUUUCCAGCAUGGUAGUUUGCACGGUGCUAGACACGAGUGCGUCCUGCGGUACUGGAGCAAGCAAGAAAGAGCUGUUGGACAGGUACCCUCAUUACUCAUCCAACUGCUUCUCCACCCUUAAAGAGCCCGUCACACCCUAGUACCGGAAGUGGCCUCCACCCCUUAAAUCCUGUCCUGCCUACCAGGCGGCAGACUUUCCUGUGUCACCAAUAGAUUCUUUUCUUCAUGAUGAUUUUUUAAAAUGUGUAUGGGUGUUUUCCCUGCCUCUAUGUAUGUGCCUGCUACCCAUGGAGGCCAGAGGAGUGUACUGGGUCCCCUGGAACUGGAGUUACGGAUGGCUGUGAGCUGUUGCGUGGGUGCUGGGGAUCAAACCUGGGUCCUCUGCAAGAGUAGGUAGUGUUCUUAACCACCCACUACAGCAAGCUCUCACACAGAUUUUUAAGACCAAUGACAACACCUUCCCUGUAGAACUUGGGAUCAAUAGCCAGCAAGUCACAACUUUGGUCUGAAGUAGGUCUGAGUUAGCUAUUGGAGAUCAUUUUCAUUCCAGGACAUCAAUGACCUAACUUGAACCCAGUUCUGAGCAGUAGAAGGGUUAAAAGCCUCCCCUUCCUACUCACUCGUAUCUUGAGUAAUGAUUUCUUUGUUACCUUCUCUCUCUCUCUCUCUUUUUUUUAAUAGUCUCCCUUCGCUUCCCUCAUAAUAGGAAAGAAAAAUUGAUGUUACCAAUUCAGUCAAGCUUCUCCACAUAGGAGGCUACCCUCUCUUCACCCUCAAAGGCUACAGAAUCGUGUGGGAAUUUACCGUCUGGCUAUUAACAGGGACACUGGGAACAAAUGGAGUGUGUCUAACAGCAGUAUAAUUUUGAAUUGGGUCAUGCUUCUGCAAGGGACAAUAGUGUUGCCUCCCUUACCAAGAGACCCUUCUUAUACCCUGUUCUCUCGCCAUGAUUAAGCUACCUGUUUGCCACAUCCUCAUCUCUAAGGCUCUACUUAAGGCAGGAGGCUCCCUGAGAGGCUUUGGGGCGCCCCACUCAGAAGGCUUCCAGCGAAUGAACGGAUUGUUUGGGGGAACUAUGUCCUGGCCACUGGCUGUGACAGGCAGGACCUAGUAGGAAUCUGUGGGCUGCUUGCCUGGGGUUAUAAAUGGCUGUCCUCCAGGGGACACUACAUGGUGAACUUUUCCUCCUAAACUCCUGAAGAGUGAACCCUAGGCUAAAUGUUGCCACUUUAAUUUGUGACUAUUUCAAUUAAAUUAUCUCAAGGCAAAGAACAUUUUCCUGCCGAGAAGCUGGGCAGAGGGCUAAAGUUACACAAUGCAGAGCGACUUGGCAAUUACUCUCCACUCUGCUAUCUAAGAUGUAAUGCCUCAAGCCCAUAACAAUACUGACUACGCCUUGUUUCCAAAUGCUGGUUCACAGCCCAUCCAGAACUUUCCCAAAACCAUCCACGGCCCUUUGCAUGUUUAGCCUGUGUCCUAGCUGAGUUUCUCUGUCACUGUGAUACAACACAGACCUAGAGCAAGUCACAGUCCAUCCCACCAGGGGGAGUUAGGACAGGAACUGAAGUAGGGCCAGGGGCAGAAGCAACAGGAGAAAGCUAGUUACCGGUUUACAGGCUUGGUUUUCAUCGCUUAAAACAAAAACAAAAGCAAAAACAAAAAAACAAACAAAAACCCACAAACAAAACAAAGCAGGGCUGCUCAAAGAAGGCCUGGCUCUCCCACAUCAAUCAAGAAAAUGUCCCAUAGAUGUGUCCAGAGGCCAAUCUGAUGAAGGCAACUAUUCUUCAACUGAAAUUCUACAUUGUUGCUUUUAUUGACAUUCUCAUGCCAGUUUUUUUUUCAAUACAUAAUCUUUGUCACAGACUAGAAGUUCGACAAAUUAUUUUCCAUGCCAAAACUUAUGUAAUGUUACUGUCCUAGGCACCUUUUUUUAUUGGAUUAUUUAAAUUUGCAUUUCAAAUGUUAUCCCUUUUCCCGGUUUCCUGUCCAUAAACUCCCUAUCCCAUCUCUCCUCCCCCUUCUUUUAUGAGGGUGUUCCUUCUCACCUCCCGACCCUGACAUUCCACUACACUGGGGCAUCAAGCCUUGGUAGGACCAAAGGCUUCUCCUCCCAUCAGUCCCCAACAUGGCCAUCCUCUGCUACAUAUGCAGCUGGAGCCAUGGGCCUGUCCAUGUCUACUCUUUGGAUGGUGGAUUAGACUCUGGGAGCUCUGGUUGGUUGGUAUUGUUGUUCUUAUAGUGUUGCAAACCCCUUCAGCUUCUUCAAUCUUUUCUCUAACUCCUCCACUGGGGACCCUGUUGUCAGUUCAAUGGUUGGCUGUGAGCAUUCGCCUCUUGUCAUACUCUGGCAGAGCCUCUCGGGAGACGCUAUAUCAGGGUCCUCUCAGCACGCACUUCUUGGCAUCAGCAAUAUUGUCUUGAGUCUGUGGCUGUAUGAGUAUGGGCUGGAUCCCCAGGUGGGGCAGUCUCUGGAUGGCCUUUCCUUCAGUCUCCGCUUCAAACUUUGUCUCUGUAUUUCCUUCUAUGAAUAUUUUUGUUCCCCCUUUUAAGAAGGACUGAAGCAUCUGCACUUUGGUUGUCCUUCUCCUUGAGCUUCACAUGGUCUGUGAAUUGUAUCUUGGGUAAUCUGAGCUUUUGGGAAUAACCAUUAUCAGUGAGUGCAUACCAUGUGUGUUUUUCUGUGAUUGGGUUACCUCACUCAGGAUGCUAUUUUCUAGUUCCAACCAUUUGACUAUGAAUUUCAUAAAGUCAUUGUUUUUAAUAACUGAGUGAGUAGUACUCCAUUGUGUAGAUGUACCACAUUUGCUGUAUCCAUUCCUCUGUUGAGGGACAUCUGGGUUCCUUCCAGCUUCUGGCUAUUAUAAAUAAGGCUGCUAUGAACAUAGUGGAGCACGUGUCUUUGUUGUAUGUUGGAGCAUCUUUUGGGUAUAUGCCCAGGAGUGGUAUAGCUGGAUCCUCAGGUAGUACAAUAUCCAAUUUUCUGAGGAACCUCCAGACUGAUUUACAGAAUGGUUUUACCAGCUUGCAAUCCAAUCAACAAUGGAGGAGUGUUCCUCUUUCUCCACAUCCUUGCCAGCAUCUGUUGUCGCCUGAGUUUCUGAUCUUAGCCAUUCUGACUGGUGUGAGGUGGGAUCUCAGGGUUGUUUUGAUUUGCAUUUCCCUGAUGACAAGGAUAUUGAACACUUCUUUAGGUGCUUCUCAGCCAUUGGAUACUCCUCAGUUGAGAAUUCUUUGUUUAACUCUGUACCCAAUUUUUAAUAUAGUUAUUUGAUUCUCUGGAGUCUAACUCCUUGAGUUCUUUGUAUAUAUUGGAUAUUAGCCCUCUAUUGGAUGAAGGGUUGGUAAAGAUCUUUUCCCAAUCUGUUGGUUGCUGUUUUGUCCUAAUGAUAGUGUCUUUUGCCUUACAGAAGCUUUGUAAUUUUAUGAAGUCCCAUUUGUCGAUUCUUGAUCUUAGAGCAUUAGCCAUUGGUGUUUGGUUCAGGAAAUUUUCUCCAGUGCCCAUGUGUUUGAGAUUCUUCCCCACUUUUUCUUCUAUUAGUUUGAGUGUAUCUGGUUAUAUGUGGAGGUCCUUGAUCCACUUGGACUUGAGGUUUGUACAGGGUCAUAAGAAUGGAUCAAUUUUCAUUCUUCUACAUGCUAACCUCCAGUUGAACCAGCACCAUUUGUUGAAAAUGCUGUCUUUUUCCCACUGGAUGGUUUUAGCUCCUUCGUCAAAGAUCAAGUGCCCAUAGGUGUAUGGGUUCAUUUCUGGGUCUUUAAUUCUAUUCCAUUGAUCUACCUGACUGUCUCUGUACCAAUACCAUACAGUUUUUAUCUCUAUUGCUCUGUAGUAAUGCUUGAGGUCAGGGAUAGUGAUUUCCCCCAGAAGUUCUUUUAUUGUUGAGGAUAGUUUUCACUAUCCUGGGUUUUUUGUUAUUCCAAAUGAAUUUGAAAAUUGCUCUUUCUAACUCUAUGAAGAAUUGGAUUGGAAUUUUGAUGGGGAAUGCAUUGACUCUAUAGAUUGCUUUUGGUAAAAUGGGCAUUUUUACAAUAUUAAUCCUGCCAAUCCAUGAGCAUGGGAGAUCUUUCCAUCUUCUGAGGUCUUCUUCAAUUUCUUUCUUCAGAGACUUGAAGUUCUUGUCAUACAGAUCUUUCACUUACUUGGUUAAAGUCACACUGAGGUAUUUUAUAUUAUUUGAGACUAUUGUGAAGGGUCUCGAUUCCCUAAUUUCUUUCUCAGCCUGUUUGUCCUAUGAGUAGAGGAAGGCUACUGAUUUGUUUGAGUUAAUUUUAUAUCCAGCCACUUUGCUAAAGGUGUUUAUCAGGUUUAGUAGUUCUCUGGUGGUACUUUUGGGCUCACUAAAGUGUAUACUAUCAUGUCAUCUGCAAAUAGUGAUAUUUUGACUUCUUCCUUUCCAAUUUGUAUCCCUUUGACCUCUUUUCGCUGUCUGAUUGCUCUGGCUAGGACUUCGAGUACUAUAUUGAAUAGGAAGGGAGAGAGUGGGCAGCCUUGUCUACGGCCUAAUUUUAGUGGGAUUGCUUCAAGUUUCUCUCCAUUUAGUUUGAUGUUGGCUACUGGUUUGCUGUACGUUGCUUUUACUAUGUUUAGGUAUGGGCCUUGAAUUCCUGAUCUUUUGAGGACUUUUAACAUGAAGGGGUGGUGAGUUUUGUCAAAUGCUCUCUCAGCAUCUUCAUGUCAGUUUAAACUCUACCAAAUCUGUUCUCUGGAAACUGCUUAUGUGUUUGUAGGUCUGCUUUUGUCUUGUUUUCCAAUGUGGCUCAUGAACCCUCCUGGCUGGUCUCGCUUGCUUUUUUGGAUCUAUAACUGUUUCUUUUCAAUGUUGAUUUGAACACCACCUAUAUUUUCUGCAUCUAACAGAAAACCCUUGCUCAGGAGAGGAUCGGAGCACCUAAGUAUUUACUUCAAUGAUAUCACCAAAGCCACUUUGAAAUUGCCUUUUGAAUCAGUAGCACUGGAAACAGUAUCCUUAGGGAAUUUUUCCACCAUUUAUGGUGAACCAACAUUUCUUAUCACUUCAAUUCUCUGGAAUUGUUAAACUGACGUGGGUUGCUUGCAUGUAUGCGUGUGUGUGUGUGUGUGUGUGUGUGUGUGUGUGUGUGUGUUUGUGUAUGAACAUGUGUAUGUGUAUAUGCACAUAUGCAUGAGUGUGCAUGCCUGUGUGUGUGUGUGUGUGUUUGUGUAUGAACGUGUGUAUGUGUAUAUGCACAUGUGCAUGAGUGUGCAUGCCUGUGUGUGUGUGUAUGUGUGUGUGUGUGUGUGUGUGUGUGUGUUUAACACACAAGCGAUCUAUAAAAGAAGAUCAGCCCUUGAGGCAUAAGUUCUGGAAACAUAUCCAUGGAAUAAAUCUCGUGAGUUAAAUAGAUCAACACAUGAUAAACAAGAGAAACAGGAUACCUAAAACGGUGGGAGAGAAAUUAAAGGGGGAUCUGCCCUGGAGAGAGUGGCUUAUGGGGGCAGCAGGAAACCAGUGGUAAUUUACCGGCCAGAGACCUGACUCAAGGAACUAUGGGUAUAGGAGAGUAGAGCAGGACACAAGAGUACACCCAAGCCCCAAGAUCCAACUGUCAUAUUGUGAUGAAUGGUGUCUGCCACCCCUUCCACAGUCUUCCAGAAGAGCCUGGAAUGCACCCUGAAGAUCAUCUGUCUUCUCUUCCUUCCCUACAAAGUAGGCAAGCAGAAGCAGUCCAUGGGAAUUCCUGGCACAAAGGAAUCAUAUAAUUAAGAACCAUCACAUAUUUGAUUAAAGCCAAGAGAAAGGCCAUGAGUGAGGACACAGACUUACUGAUCCAUCAGCUUAAGACCACAGACCUCCGUGGUUCAGCGUUAUACACCACAACAGAGACCGCAUCCGUAAGGGGCCUCUAAGGACACAGCUGCAUCCUGCUGGAGAUCUGCUUCUUCUGGCCGUUCCCAGAACUGCCUGUCCAUUAUCACCCAUGCUCUCAUUGAAGACCGAGGACCAAUUAGCCUUAAAAGUUUUGGGUUUUGUUUGUUUUCGAUUUGUGUGCAUGGAUGUUUUGCCUGCAUGUAUAUCUGGGCACUGUAUGUGUGCCUGGUGCCCAAGGAAGUCAGAAGAGGGCUUCAGAUGCCUGGACCUGGAGUUGUAGCUGACAGUGAGCCACCAUGUGGGUUUUGGGUUCUUCAGGAGAAACACGCUCCACUGAGGCCACCAAAUGGCAACCUUUAUGGCCACCGUCCCUAUGUGCCAGCAGGAGAUCUGAACAGACUUUAUCUAAUUUCCUGCUUGAGGAAGGCAGGCAUGUCAGGAGGCAUCAUUUUCCCCUGGUUUUUCUUUUCUGAUGGGGAAACUGAGGCACAGCACGAGACAGAGGACGUACUUGAACACAGGAAGGUUAGUGGGCAUGGAGGGGAGGGAACAAGAGCGUCUGUGUGCUCUCUGUCAUUUCUUUUCCCAUUUUCUCAGCUGCGCAUGCCUUUACCCCAAUUUGGUAACCUUGAAAACAGUGCCCUUGGGGCUGGAGAGGUGGCUCAGAGGUUAAGAGCACUGGCUGCUCUUCCAGAGGUCCUGAGUUCAAUUCCCAGCAACUACAUGGUGGCUCUAAACCAUCCUAUAAUGAGAUAUGGUGACCUCUUCUGGCCUCGAGGCAUGCAUGCAGGCAGAACACUGUACGCACAAUAAAUCUUCAAGCAACACAAAACAAAAUGCCCCUGGCUAUCUGCUCACAAGACUGUGCCCCAGCUUUACAGGAGCUUGACUUUCUCUCUGCUGUCCACACUUGCUUAUUCUAUCCAACUGGACACUGACACACCUUGACUUUUAUUGUAUUUGUAAAGGUGAUAUUAUCUUGACUAAAUUCACUAAGGGCACAAUUUUUUUUUCUGUAUUCUUAAGAGUCUGAGCAAACAUGGGCAGUCCAUGAAUGGGAAUUUUCUGUGGAAGAAAGAAAUUGAGAAGGACCCUGAUCUCGGACAUCUUCAGGGAUAAGUGUAGCCAGAGGCAGAGAUGGAUUAUGAGGGGUUGCAGGGUCACAGGUGGGGUCUUGAGGUUUCAGACAUGCCCUACUCUAUUAAGUCAUUGUACUGGCCCCAUGGGCCAAAUGAUCUGGAACUUUAUCAUCAAACCUUCUCCUGCAGAUUUGGGAUCCAGUCAAAAUGAUCUCCAAGGAAACUUACAUACAAAUUGGAAGCUAUACCCAGCUGGUCAGUGGAGGUAGUUUGGAUCUGCAGAGUUUCUAGGACAUCGGGCAUUUGAGGCUGAAUGGAAACAAAAGAACACAAAAACCUGUGCCAAGCUGUUCAUUGGAGGUCAGCCGAUAGGCCUCAGGGAGUUCAGAAAUUUUGCACUGGGUUUGAACAUUGUUGAUUCCUGAUUAUCUUUCCUCAGAGAGCUUUCAUUAGAGCAUCGGAAUGGGCCAGGGGCUUGAAUAAGAAGAGUUGGAGACGAGUUAGAGAAUGGAAGAGUUAGAGAUGGUGGGCAAGGCUUUGUCUCCCCAGCCUUCACCACCUCCAACUUCAGGUAACCUAGGCUCUCAGGUACCAGUGUCUGUUAUUACAGUAGUAGGUUAGAAGGAAAGGAGGAGCCGAGAUGGGAGAGAGCCAAGGCACCGAGAAGGACCGUAGAAGCUAGAGGAUUAAGACAAGGUUGAGAAUGCUGGGCUUUUGAGGCUGUGAGGAGUCGUCAUAUGGUCCAACCGCUAUUGUUAAUAGAUAAGGAGAUGGAGGUCCAGGGAGGUUAAGUGACCCCCAACACUUUGGGGGUCAUUCAGUAGUUUCCUUGCCAGAGAGUGGCCCUGCUCCAGGACAUCUCUGUGGCCUCACAGUUUGUUCAUUAAACAACAGAUAAACUCACAAGGAAAAGACCAAUGAUGCUGUUGCUAUCUGGCUGUUUGGGUGGUAGCUACAGGCCACUGUGCUGUUGGAGCUUGGCAUUUGUAAUCACAGAUAGGACAAGGAAAACAUUCUUCUGGGGAUAUGUGAAUGCUUUAGAGGUUUUUUGUUUUGUUUUUACACCUGACCUAAAAAGCUUAAGAUGUUAACCAUUUAUUCAUCCAUUUCGUUAACACUUAUUGAGUGCUUCUGGCUCCGUGGCAGCCUCUGUGGAGGCUAAGGACAGAAGAGUGAGAUCUCACCAGGGAAGGAGGUGUGAAGCCAUGAUGGUGGUGAAGAGCACUGUACUGCAGAAACGGCUGGCUGGCUGGCUGGCUGGGGGUGGGGUACCUUAAAGGAACCUAUCAUAUUCAGGCCAAAGGGUACAUGCAAAGCCAUUUGUACUUCAGGGUGAGAAGUCUUGGAUACUGAAACUCAGGUGUGGGUGUGGAUCACGCCAUAAGAAACAGUAUCCGGACAACCCCAAGAACCACACAUUCCUUUGGGGCCCUGCUACUGUUCUGCCCAAGUCCUGAGAUCACACACCUUCACCGAUCAUGGAGAAUUUAAAGAUCGAGCAAUGACAGCCGUCACUGCCCAUGUGUGUGUGUGGCUUUCAAGGUUCUUUACCUCAGACCUCAGUGCCCUUCAUUUGAGAACUGACUUAAGCUGGGGAUUAAGCCACUUGGGAAGUGAGUGGGCUCCUGGGGCUGGUUAAUCAUAGAGUUGAACUCCGGUCUUCUGGCCACAGAAACUCAGUCAUUUGAUGAUUUGUCAAUGAUGCUGUCAUUUCUGUCCUUCCUCCUUUCAGAUUAAAACCCAAAAGUUAACUGAAAAAUUCUGAUGAGGCAGGCAAUAUAAGAAAAAACAAAUAAAGUGAUAUGGAAAACUA
Non-coding RNA from Rattus norvegicus (Norway rat), 45138 nucleotides. The record is from RefSeq and is a predicted model, not a curated record. NCBI's taxonomy places the organism in Eukaryota, Metazoa, Chordata, Mammalia, Rodentia, Muridae.